This 75298-nucleotide long non-coding RNA is filed under the name Trifolium pratense (red clover). RNAcentral describes it as "long non-coding RNA (TPRA_LNC008533)". The record is from RNAcentral. Lineage: Eukaryota; Viridiplantae; Streptophyta; Magnoliopsida; Fabales; Fabaceae.
AAACAUAUUAUCGAAAAACAUUUUGACUUCAUAUAUCUCUCUCACACAAUAUAUAAGUAAAGGACUUAUAAGUGUCAACCUACUUUUGAAAGCUUAACAACUACUUUAAAUUUAAAAUGAAAAACAUGAAAAGCCUCUUUUGUUUUUCGAUUCUUUUGCUUGUUAUCUCGAUGAAUUUUGGUAUGAAAUAUAAUUAUUGAGUUUUUUUUUGUACAAAUUAAAGUUUUAUGAGUUAGUGAUGUUUUUACUAACCAUGUUUAUGCCCGGUUGGCUAUUUAUCGCAGGAAAUCAAAUGAUGAUGAUCGAGGCAAAACCAUGCUCAAUUGUUAAAUCUCAUUUCUGUCGUAAAUGGGAGGUUUUGAUUUGCAAAGUAUAUUGCAAGAUUGAAUGCAAAACAGUACAUGCAACUGGAAAAUGUCACGACGACUAUUCGUGUAAUUGUAAUUGUUGUGCUAAUUGAUGGUAUUAUUAUUACUACUAUAAUAAUAACAUUGGGAGUUGGUGUCUAGCAGCAACUUUAUGGGUGUAUCUUCUAUGGUAGUUUUGAAGUUGAGAUGAGUCUUUCUAAGUAUGAGAUUAGAAGUAGACCUCUAUUAGUUAGUGUCUUUCUAAGUAUGAGAUUAGAAGUAGAACUCUAUUAGUUAGUAUCUAUUUUGAUAUUUUUAGGUUCCGUUUAUAUACGGCGCCUAUGUCGUUUCUUUUUCACCGGUCUAUGUUUGUCUUGUGCGAGACCUGGUUAUUUAUAAUAACAUUGGAAGGUUCCAAUCUAUUUUUUUAAACAAUGAAGGUUCCACAUUUUUAAGGUGUAAGAUGGUGAACUAUAAUAAAUAAAAUGGUUGCAUUAUACGUAGGUUUCCCUCAUUUUUUGUAUUUAGUGUUCUAUGUUUAUGUUGUACUUGCGGAGAAACCUUUUUCUCCAAUUUUUUUUUUAAUCUCUGGAUUUUUUUGAGAAUGGGAUUCCGUUAAUUUGGAUUUGAUUCCGAAAUAAAUCGAACUUAAUUUUUUUAAAAUAAUUCGCUGUUUGUUGGUGAAGCUCAUUAACCGAUUACAACAAUCACUUAAUUUUUCACCUUGAGAAAUCUAGGUGGGUCCCAUGCCAAAACAAAUCUCUUUAUAAUAGGUGAGAUUUGUGAGUUGAAGGAGUUGAGAGCUGCAAUUUCCCGCAAUGUCCUUCUCCUUAUUUUUGUUGAGGUUUAAUAUUAAACUAUAUUUGAAUUUUAAAUAUGAAGGAUAAAUUUGUAUUUUAUCAUUUUUUUGAGUUGGGAUAUUCUCCAUUUCCGCUCUUGAUUACUAUAGUUUUGAAUAAUUUUCAAAUAUAUAUUAAAUAGUUGGACCCACAAAAUGUCACAUUAUUGCAUUUAUAUUCACAAAACUUUAGUAAUGGUAAAAAUGGAGUGGAUCUUGACUUAAUUUCUCUCUAUCCAUUUUUUUAUUCAUCCAAACAAUAAAGAAUUUCCACUCAAUUUCUCUCUUCGCUAUUUGUUUCUUUGGAUAUCCAACCACAAUGUUAAUCUUUACAAAAUCAAAUCAUGACACAUUAAUCGCUGAAUCAUUGAAUUGAUUUUGAACCUAUAAAGUCGUGUACCAUUAAUAGUGCCACCGAAUCAUGACAAAGUUAGUCCCUCAUUUUAUAAUAAAAUAAAAAUAAAUAAAAGAAAAUGAGUUUAACAUUUUUUUUCUUUUACAAAAGAAUUUAAUUUAUAUGCACCGUCAGUGUAAAGUUAUUUUACACAUGCAUCCAAUAAUAUACCUAUACAUCAUGUAUGAUAUGUAAAAACACAUGAUGUGUCACAUUCAUUAAAUGAUGUGACAGCGCAUCAUUGAAUGUAUGUGUAAAAAAUCUUUACACUCACAGUGCACAACGAUUAAACUCUUUACAAAAUGUAAAGAUAAAAAACUAGGGGUCCAUUUUAUCUUAAGUUUCAACUUUUCACAUAUUUUCUUCCGUUGGUUUUUCUCCUCCCACACGGUCAAACCCUUUGUUUAUUUCUAGUGAGAUCAAUUCUUAUGGCAUCGGCGAUGAUGACAACUGAUUUAACCGGAAAAAAAUGACGUACAAUGUACCAGAUUCAAAGAUAAAAAUAAGUUUUGUUGUUUUUUUUGUUGACGUUAAGUUUCGUUGUUAUUAUAACCUUAACAUAUUAUAUCAUCCAUACCACAAAAUAGUUUUUUUUUAUCGAGUAGCCUAGUGGUUGUUGAAACCAAAAAUAAGUACAUGCGAAUUAAGGAUGCAAAGUAGAAGAUAGCAAGAAUAGAAGCCACUCAAACACAAUUUAAAGUUGUGAAGUUCACAAUAACUGACUGUAGGAAAAACAAUUACAGCAGGGGUAUUAGAGCCUCAAAACUCAACAGAAAAUAGACGCCACAGUUCUUCUUGCUCAUGCUUUACCUUCUCGACUCUUAUCACGCCCAGCAUCAAUUAUCAGGACAGUAUAUGGACACAUUAUGAUAACACUACCGUCAUUCUCUAUAUCAGAUGAGGAAUUGCAAGUGUUCUACAGUCAUCGCAUCCGCUGUCGCUGCCUCAAUAUGAUAUAUGAUCACUUCAAGUGUCACAAGCCAUAUCGUCACUGAUGAUUUAAAUUCAUAAAGGAAGUGAGUAAAUUUAUCAAAUGAUAUCAUUUGAAAGACAACAAGCCAAUAUUAGAUAUUCAAACCUAGAAACCAUCAUAAGGAACUUGCUGGAAUCCAUUGGUUAUACUCAUCCAUCCUUAUUAUGAAGGAGCUUCAAGUAGGAAGUGCAGAAAACUCAUUAAUGUGUAUCAAACUAUUAAAAAACUAAUAAAUAUGUUAGACUAUUGGUUUUAUAAAUUCAAACUCUACAUGCUUUGCCAGAUGCUAUAACAUCCGUAUCCAGAUGCCCUACCAGAUGUUGUAACAUCCAUUUAGUUUUUUUCUUCUGUUUUAACAGUUAGUAGUUAGUUAGUUGUUGGUUGUUGAGUGCAGUUGCACUUGUGUUAGUUUGUUUGUUUUGUAAGGUUAUAAUUCAGUUAGUUUGAUUUGUCUUAGGUAGUUAUGCACUUGCUUUUAUUUGAAACAAUAAACUUAAGAUUUUUAGACUCUUUUCCUUUAAUCACUUUCAUAAAAUUACUUUCACAUUAGUUCAUAUUCUUUUUUUUCACAAUUAAUGUUCAUUGUUUAGGGUUAAACCCCAACGCAGACACACAAAAAAAAAUGUACAACCAACCAGNNNNNNNNNNNNNNNNNNNNNNNNNNNNNNNNNNNNNNNNNNNNNNNNNNNNNNNNNNNNNNNNNNAUAAUAAUAAUAAUAAUAAUAAUAAUAAUAAUAAUAAUAAUAUUAGUAGUAGAUAAAAAAAAAAAAAACUAAACGAACUUGUUUUUCCCUCGUUGAAAUUUUGUUUCCCCGCUCGAAGUUCACCCAAAACAGGAACCCUAGAAGAAACACAUUAAUUCAAUCCAUUCUCUGUAUCCAUCGGAGAAGAGAAGAAGGCACUCACAACUCCACGGCGCCAACAACGAGGUAUUUUAUUUACAUUCUCCCUCUCAAUUAUCAGACUUCAAUAUACUUUACUUUCUAGGUUUUCCCCAAUUCUGUUUCCCUUUAAAAUCAAUCGCAACUUUACUUUCACUUCAAAUCUCCCUUUAUAAUUCAUGUUACUGAGUAUUAUUCCGUUUUUCUUUCAUUUUCAUGCUUAACCAACAUAGAAUGUCUGAUUCUAAAGAAGAAAGCUUGAUGAUUCUGGAAAAUAUGAAGAAGAAAAAAAGGCAUUGUGAUCAUCAAAAUGAAGACAGGCUCACUGACUUACCCGACAGUGUUUUGCUUCACAUUUUGUCAUUUUUGAAAACCAAACACGUCGUUCAAACUUGCGUUUUGUCUAAGAGAUGGAAGAAUUUGUGGAAACGUAUUUCGACUCUUAUGUUGCAUUCCACAAAUUUUUCCACUGUGAAGCGUUUUGCCACAUUUGUGUCUAAGGUUUUGAAUUUUCGUGAUACCUCAACUGCACUGAACGCUCUUGAUCUUUACCGUCAUGGUGAUAUUGAGCCUCAUCUACUUAAAAAGAUUUUAAACUAUGUUUGCUCCCAUAAUACUCACAUCCAGAAAUUAGGAAUCUCUGUCAAUGGUGAUAGUGGUAUCAUUAUGAGUUGUGUUUCUUCAUGUCAUGCUCUUACAUCUCUUAAGCUUUCACUUUACCCUAGAGGUAGUAAUGGUAGUCAUACACCAAUAUUAUUUCCAAAAUCUUUGAAUUUGCCUUCAUUGACCAGCUUAAAUCUAACAAAUUUCGCCUUUUGCGGUGCUGAAAGCGAUUGUGUUGAGCCCUUUUUCGCCUUUACUAAGUUGAAUAGUUUGGUCAUACGUAGUUGUAAGGUAAAGGAUGCUCAAAUCCUCAGCAUAUCAAGUGAGACACUUGUCAAUUUAGCUAUUGAAUAUCCUUUGGAAAAAAUGAAUUUAGCUAUACAAACUGAUUAUUCAUCCAACUUUGCCGAAAUCAAGUUAUCUACUCCAAAUCUUUAUACCUUCAGUUUUACCGGUGACCUUAUUCAGAAAAUAUGUCGGAGCGGACUUUCUUCUGUUAAACAAGUAAAUAUUGAUGAUUCACGACAAGAUGAUGCUUCGGUGGAGCAUGGUUUGAUUAUAUUCAACUGGCUGCUUGACUUUGCCAAUGUUGAAUCAUUGACAGUGACUUCAACUACUCUUCAGGUCCCUUGUCAUGUUUUCAGGCUUUAUUUUUACUUUCUUUUUAAGCUGCUUAUUUAUAUUUGUAAAAUUCAAUUGACUUGCAUCAAACUGAUCUUAAUUCAUCAUCAUUGCUUAGAUUCUCUCCUUAGUUCCUGAUUUAUUAGACGUUAAGCUCCCUUCUUUAUGUAACUUGAAGUCAUUGGAAGUAGAAUUGACACCACUUGACGAGGGAUAUUUAUCCCAAACAAUCAAAGAUGCCAUGUUAAAGAAAGCUGCUGCCAAGUCUGAUGAAGAAUUUUUUAAGUUAAUAAAGGCAUUUAACGCACGUAUAGAGCUACCUCCCAUACCUGAUGGAAUAGUUGACUUCUUGCGACAAAACUCGCCGUCGGCACAAGUUACCUACACAACAGAAUUCCCACAUCGUUUUCAUCUUAUGGAGGUAGUCAUUUAAAAGUCAUAUGGGAACUGAGUGUGAUAGUUUUUUGAGAAUCUGAGCUUAGAUAAUUUCAAAUGAAACAACUGUUUGAAGAGUUUGUUAUUUGUUGUUACUUGUUACUAAACAGGUUGAAGAAUCUGAUUCUGCUGCAUCUCCCAAUCUUUAUGGUUGAGCUGAAAAGGUAAAACAUUCAUCACAUGCAUUUUGAUAGAUUCUCUUUGAGUUUCUGGUACUAAAAUUUUGGGUUCUGUGGAGAUUUCCAUUUUUGUGAUAUUUCAAAAUGAGAUAGUAUAUUAGAUAAUUGUAGGAGCCGUUGUCUGCAAUUUACUCAAGUAGAAAUUGGUCAAGAAUGAUGACAGAGGCAUCUAUAUUAAUAUUAAAUCAGUUUUGAAUCUUUCGUAUUUAUUUAUUGUUUGUUUAGUUUUUUAUACCUGUCAAACUUUUGUCAUAUUAUUGAUUUUGCAGCGACAAUUGAUAUUGUUACUUUUCUUCCUGUAGGAUGAUAAAUCAUCACAUGAAGAUAAGGUGGAGAAGCACCAACCUAACUCCACCUCUCCACUUCUUGAUAACGGGCAGUGAAGACUUCUCAGUUUGGCCGACUUACUAAAACAUGUUUUUUGAUUUGACAAUCAUGACCUCUUCAUCUAGCUGAAAUUCUCCGGUUUGAAAGCCAAAAAGUAUUAUUCUUAUGAGCUGUGAUAUUUCAAUACAGUUUUCCAAACACGUAUUUGAAAUCGUAGAUAAAUUGAGUCUGUAUUGGAUACUAAAUUGUAAUGUACAAAUCCUAUACUCUGCCACUCGUAUGUAUGCUUGUACCUGUAUGAACAAGUGUCUUUUGUUUAUGGGUGCUUUCAUGAAUAGAUCUCGUUUAUCGAUGACUUUUGGUUUUAUGGAUGGUGUGACUGAUUGUAAUAAAGUCAUUACUCAGGUUUAAACAACUUGGAGUUGGUUUGUGUUAUGAGAUGGUAAAUCAAGGGUGCUUCAUUUUAGGGAUCAAUCUAGCGUGAGAGAGUUUGAUAGGUCUCAUACUAUGGGUGAGUAUUUUUUAUUUUUUUUUUUACAAAUAUUAUGGGUGAUUAUUGUUCACUGUCAGAUUGUGAAAUUCUAAAGAUGUUAUAGACCACCAAUACCAUAUACAUAUCCUUUAUCUCUCUUCUCAUUGUUCUUGUUCUCCAACGUUGCAUCACCACCACCACCACCCUAUCCGACCUCUCCUAUAACCACCACCUCAUAACACAUUGUCGAUCUGCAUAUCAAAUAACAUAAAUAACGGUUUAUGAGUUUUAUUAAAUAACGUUAAUUUUAAUGAGUCUUAAUAACAUACUGUAAUUUUCAAUUUUUCUAAAAAUUUAUAUGGAUGAUCUAUAUGAUAUAAUUUUUCGAUCAAACGAUCAAUUUUAUAUAAUUCAUAUUCGUUAUAAAAUGAUUUCCCAUCUUUGUGUCUAAGAUUUCGACUCUCCGUGAUACCUCAACUGCACGCUCUCGAUCUUGACUGUAGUGGUGUUAUUGAGCCUCCUCUCCUUAAAAAGAUUUUAAACUAUAUUUGCUCUCAUAAUACCAAUCUCCAAGAAUUAGGAAUCUCUGUCACUGGUGAUACUGAUCUCUUCAUGAGUUGUGUUUCUUCAUGCCGGACUCUUACAUCUCUUAAGCUUUCACUUUACCCUAGAGGUCGUUAUAAUUCUACACCAACAUUAUUUCCAAAAUCUUUGAAUAUGCCAGCAUUGACCAACUUGGAUCUAACAAAUUUCACCUUUUGCGGUGGUGAAAAUGGUUGUGCUCAGCCUUUUUUGGCCUUUAGCAGGUUGAAUAGUUGAUGGACAAACCCUCAACAUAUCAAGUGAGACACUUGUCAAUUUAGCUAUGCAUAAUAAUUCACCUGAAUUUGACAAAAUUGAGUUAUCUGCUUCUGCUCCAAGUCUUUGUACUUUUACUUUUAUCGGUAGUCCUUAUCAGCAAAUAUGUGGGGGCGGUCUUUCUUAUGUUAAACAAGUAAACAUUGAUGCAAAACACUUUUUAACAUGGGAGAAGCUUCCUAUGGUUCUGUUGAGCUGGUUGCAAGACCUUGCCAAUGUAAAAUUAUUGACAGUCUCUUCAAUUACUCUUCAGGUAUGCUGUGUUGGCAUGUUCUGAGGCUUUAAUUUUACUUUUAUGUUGAGAUUCUUUAAGUUAUUUCAAAAUUUUGUUUAAAAUCAGUUGACUUGCAUAACUGAUCCUAUUCCACUCUUGUUCUUCAUUGUAUAGAUUCUCUACUUAGUUCCUGAUUUAUUAGAGGUUAAGCUCCAUUCUUUGUGUAACUUGAAGUCAUUGGAAGUAGAAUUGACACCACUAAAUAGACGAUUGGAAUUACCCUUAAUUAAAAAUGUCAUGUUAAAGAAAGCUGCUGCCAAGUCACGUAAAGAAGUUGCCAAGUUACGAAAAGCAUUUAAAGCAGGUUUGAAACCACCUCCUAUACCAGAUGGAAUAGUUGGCUUCUUGCUUCAAAACUCGCCGUCCGCAAAAGUUGACUUCACAACAAAAUACCCGGGUACUUUUAAAAUAAAAGCAUAAUUUAGGCAUUUUCAUUGUAGUUAAUUUUUAGUUUCCUUGGUUUUAGUUGAGUGGUACUUUUGAAAUAUGCCUACUGCUUGGAGUCUAUUUGUAAAACUAUUGGAUUGAGAUUGAUAAACGCUUCUUCAUAAUAUCAGUGAUUUUGUUGAAGAGUUUAUCCAAACAAACAUAUAUUAUUCUUUAUAAUAUGUUUUGGAUUUGCUAUAUAAAUGAUUUGUGAUUUGCUUAGUCAAUGACUUGAUGAGAAGAAUGGACAAUUGAAAAUAUGAAGCAAAGUAAACUUCAAACCACUAAAGAAGCCAAAUUUUUAUUUGCUUUUGUUCUCAUUUUGGGAGUUGUUGUGCUGCAUGUGAUGUUGCUAUGCUUGCAAUUUGUGUUAAUCCAAAUUUUUAAUAACAACAUAAUUUAGGCACUCUCAUUGUGUUACCUUUGAGUUUCCCUUUUGAUAUAUGCCUACUGCCUGGAGUCUAUUUGGAAAACAUUUAUGGCAGUCAAUUAGUUUUUCAAAACAUCAGUGCUAGAUGAAUUUGUGUGCAUUUGUUUCUAUUUAGUUAUUUGGCUUUUUGUGAUAAUGUAAAUCCGGCCAUAACUUGUGAUUGAUUGAUCUUUGGCGAAGUUAAUAAUGGAGUUUCCCCUUCAAAUCAUACUGCUUCAUUGCAUUUUCAUAAAACCUGUUGCAACUUUUUUCAUAUGAUUGAAUUUGCAGUGACAAUUGAUAGUCUUACUUUUUCUGCCUUUAGGAUGAUAAAUUAUCAAAUGAAGAUAAGGUGGAGAACCAUCAACCUAACUCCGACUCUCCUCUUCUAGAUAAUCAGCAGUGAAGAGUUCUCAUAUUGCCUUACAAGUGUACAAUGCCUUCUUUGUGAAGAUUUCUUUUAAGAUAAGUGACUGAAAAAAAAAAUCAGUUUGGCCGACUUACUAAAGCAUGGUUGAUUUGCCAAUCAUUUGGUCUAUCACAUGACCUCUUCAUCUAGCUGAUAGUCUCCAAUUUUGAAGCCAAAUUGUAUUAGCUACCAUCUUGGAGUAUGUAUCGGAUACUAAAUUGUAAUGUACAAAUCUAUACUCUUCUACUUCUAGUUAUAGUUGCUACUGGACCUCGUUUGUCGAUGACUUUUGGUUAUGCAAUAAAUUUGUUUUCUGGUCCUUAUAAAUCAAAAUUUUCAUUAAUAUAACUUGAACUGAAGAGUCCAAAUUGCAUCUUCACAAUUUACAUUUCUUAAUUGUUAUAGGUUGUAUAAUUCCUUAAUUUUGGUGCGUCGUUCACAUUUCUUACAUGCUGAUCUUAGGGAUAUUUUCUGUUCAAUUGAUCAUAAGAAUGAGAAAAUACAAAACCACACCAUGCACGAGACAAUAUGAUAAGAUUAUUACAAAUUUACAAUGGGAAUCAUUGGUUUUAUUCUGGAAAUAACUACGGUUCUUGAAACAUAAUAUCGAACUCCAUUGGGACAAGUUGUUGAAAGAUUUGAUAAAUGAUAUGCCAAAUUGAGUACAUGUAUGCAGCUAUGGUCAUCUAGUACUGCAGACUUUAGCUCAUUAGUUUAUAAUGAAAUUAAGAAAAAAUAGAACAUCCUCAGUUUGAGGGAAUACCAGAGAUUUGGUUCACUGUUGGGGUUGUGGCUGCCUUAGCUGUAGACUGAUUGGUUCAUCAUAUCCAUAGCUGAUCCUAGUACUGUAUGAAGGAUUGGUUGUUGCAUAUUCCCUACGCCUUGCACCAAUAACCUAAUAUCCAAAUCUUAAUUAUUUAUCAAAGUGGCUUUGACGAUCAUUUUACAACUGUACCAAUUGAAAUUGAACCUUGUCCGUUGAGAUUACGAAGUCAAACUCUUACUACUGAGCUGACUCAUGGACAAUAAUAAAAUCUUCAAUUAAGAUUUGGCAAAUUAAAGUAAACUUGAAGCCUUUAGCUUCUAGAUAAAUCAAUAGAGCAGCCUGAGUAUACCAUAAGGUAAUUUUUUAUGUAUGACACUUCAAACCCUCUUCCUAUAUUAUGUUUGCAGGUUGCAGACUUUUUAUUUAUAUGCAUAAUAAUCAUUGUUAAACUAAAGAAUGCAUGCCUUUCUUGAUAUGUUGUUUACCUUCUCUAGUUCUGCAUUUUCCUCACCAAUUUGGUNNNNNNNNNNNNNNNNNNNNNNNNNNNNNNNNNNNNNNNNNNNNNNNNNNNNNNNNNNNNNNNNNNNNNNNNNNNNNNNNNNNNNNNNNNNNNNNNNNNNNNNNNNNNNNNNNNNNNNNNNNNNNNNNNNNNNNNUUGUGUAAUUCAUUGAUAUCAUCACUAUAAAUUUGACCCUGCAAGUACAUAAACGAUAUGUUAUAUAAGACUAAAAAUCAGGACCGCCAAGAGACUUAGACACUAUCUCGAGUUUAAUAUCUCCUAUAUAUAUCACUCAUUUAGUUCAGUCCUAAUGGAUGCAAGAUUAACCACUCACACUUGAAUUCUAACAAAUACCUUUCUUUUGCGAAUGCUUUUCAAACUCAUCUCCAAUUGGUGUUCUAGAUGCCUCAGCUCAUCAAAAUCCAAACUAGAUAGUUCUUGGCCCAUCAAUUGCCUGCAUUUACCAAAAAGAAAGUGUGGAGUCCUUUCUUGUGUCAAAUCUGGUUAUUGCUGAGGUAUGUUAUAGGAAUAACUAUUAGGUGUUUAAUAUUUUACCUUUGGCUAUCAUUCAAGUGCUGCAAUUGUUGCCUCAAGCUUGCUGCUUCUCUUUGCCAAAACUAGCCAAUAGUAAUAAAAAAUACGAGAUGAUAGAUAUAUUAUACUACUAUUUAAGCAAUGUACUUUUUGGAUUUGUAGAGCUUAUUUGAACUUAUGAAAUAUAUGCCUUUAUGCGCAAGUCUUCGGCAAAACUUAAAAAUAGAUCAUGACCUAUCUUACUUAAUUACAAAUGAAUAUAUUUGAGCAAGCUUUAUCAUUUCAUUAAACUUUGUGAAAAAUAAGCUUAUGCACAUUUAAUUCAAUUGUAUACCUAUAUGUCACAUGUGUCCGGCAGAUAAUUGGAUAUAAAAAAUGACAAUAUUAAGGUAGUCGAGCAGUUCAUGAAUGGUAACUUGCUCAUAGACUAAGGGUUUAUCAAGCUUUCUCAUAUUACUAUACCUCACAAACAAUGUUCUCUUCCUGGUACGAUAUUUUGCUUAUGACGAAGAUCGGAGGAACUGGGGAUUCUGUUUCUUCUUGUAAUGAUGUUUGGUUGGGUUUGUCCUCAUUAGAAUUGACUUCCCAAGACUACUUGUGAUCUUGAUGCAAAAGGAGUGUAGGGUUCUAAUUGAUCUUGGUAGAUGGGAGGGGGGUUUUUGGAGUGGGGAUUUAGGUGGUGGAGAAGACUUUUCCUGUUUGUUAAUUAUUAAUUAUCUGAUCUUGUUCAUGUUUUGGGUCACUUGGAGUCAUUUGUACAAAGUUUGUUAGUGGCUAGCUUGGGAUUCAGUUUAUGAUACCGUGUGAAUUUGUCUUUUAUGUUUGUAUCUUUGGUGAACUAUGGUAAAGGGAGGAUCAUUUUCCUUCUAAUAUUACAUGUUUAUAUGCCUAUUUAAGAAUUGAGGAACAGUUAUAUUUUUUCAAACUAGGUCGCUAAAUCGGGAGGGGCCUGAUAUCACUUGAGGCAAGAAUUGACUCUCAAACUAGAUUAGGCGGUCCAGUGNNNNNNNNNNNNNNNNNNNNNNNNNNNNNNNNNNNNNNNNNNNNNNNNNNNNNNNNNNNNNNNNNNNNNNNNNNNNNNNNNNNNNNNNNNNNNNNNNNNNNNNNNNNNNNNNNNNNNNNNNNNNNNNNNNNNNNNNNNNNNNNNNNNNNNNNNNNNNNNNNNNNNNNNNNNNNNNNNNNUUGAGGAACAGUUAUAUUUUUUCAAACUAGGUCGCUAAAUCGAGAGGGGUCUGAUAUCACUUGAUGCAAGAAUUGGCUCUCAAACUAGAUUAGGCGGUCCAGUGGGUCUAAUACUAAUGGUGAAAACCAAAAAAAACUAGAUGCUAAAGUUUUGACCUUGGUGUAGAAAACUAAGUUUUUUUUUUAGGGAAAUGGUUAUCGGGUAAGGUAAUAAGGACGGUCUUUGCCUUUAUUAUGAAUGGUAUGUUAACCUAAAUCACUGAAGCACGAAAAUAUGCCAAAAUGACUUCUGAAUUGUAUCUAAUAUGUAACGAUAUGUCAAUACACCUUGAUAUGCCGUCGAUACGUAUUAAAGGAGUAUCCGGAUUUAUUUAUUUUUAAAAAUAAAAAAUAAAAUCUGAUAUGGCGUCGACACAUAGGGUUGAUUUAGACCUAGACGAAUUCAUAUAUUAGUCAGCCAAUUCAUCAAAAGACAUAAUAAAAAAGCAACGCAAUGCCAGCCAAUUCUAAAAUUCUAUGUUUUUUUCUAAAACUGUUUUACAAGAUGAUCAUCGUCCUCUUUUGGCUUAUGUCACUAUAGUAAACAAGGGUACAAAUUAAAGGGUUCAGAAACAUGUGGAAAUAAGUCAUGGGUUUUGAACUUUUGUCAAAUAGAUUUUACAAGUUCUUACUCUAGAUUAAAAGUCAUUUGUUGAGAAUUUAUGGCACUGGAAUUUGUGUGUUUCCUAAUGUAAAUGAGGAAUAUUUGUCUAAGUUGCAAUCUAUUGUAGAACCGGCUAUUAAAAAAAUGUCUAAUUUUAAUAUUAAAUGUAUUAUAUCCUAUAUUUUUUAAUGACUGAAGUAUGACCGUAACGGCGAUAUCCAUAUUGUGUUUGUGCUUUAUAGGUUGAAACCAAAUAUCAAAUGCAACAUAGGCCUAAACAUUAUAUAUCCUACAAUCUAUAAAUACAAUUAAGAGUUCCAAAUCAAAUAUAAGAUGAGAUGAACAUGAGUUUAUAAGUAGAGACAAUCAUCACAUUAUAAGUCAGUUUUAUAGGAUUGAUUUAGACCUAGACGAAUUCAUAUACUCUUUUAAAGAUAAACUUCACCUUUUUCUAUGGUUAUUUACCUUGACAUCCAAAGUAGGAUCCACUGCUUGAUGACGGUCCUCCAUUAAUUUGUUAUAACGCUCGAUAACAGAUUCCAUGCUGCAAAAAAUGUUGAUGUUUGUAUUAGCAGAUGUAAAUAAUAUUUUUAUGAAUCUAAAUCAACACAGAGAACUCAACAAGGCGCAUGUUCAUGCAUGAUCUUCGAACUAGCAAAACAGAAGUCACAAGGAGUAGGAAUGUCUGAGCCAUGAUUUUGAAAUGUGUAGUUGUUUAGAGUAUUUGGGAGUAGGGAUAUGUCAAUGGAUAUCCAUGAGCGCGGAUAGUAUGAUAUCCGUGUCCCACUCUAUUAGAUAAAUAUGAUAUCCGUAUCCGCUUCAUAUCUGUGCGGGUAUCCACUAAGCGGGUAAUCUACGGGUUUUGAGGUAUCCGCGGAUAUUAACAGAUAUCCAUGGAUGAUAAUUUUAAAAAAUAUAUAUUUUUUUUCUAAUUAUACCUAAAAUUUCUUAAAAGAAGUAAAAAAAAUAUUAACACAUAAUAAUAUUCAUACAUUUCACUUUCAAUUUACAACAAUGUCGCCACAUUCAUUUUUCUUCUUUUUACCAAAACUUAAUAUAAUAUCCAUAAAUUUCUCUUUAAAAAAAUAAUAUACAUACAUUUCUAACUAAAAUAAAAUUCAUCAUAAAGUUAUGCGAAAUAUAAAAGUCUCUUUAAAUUUAAUAACUAAGGAUAUUUAAGUAUUUGUCUUAUUUAUUAGCGGGUAUGAAUAUCCGCGGGCAUGAAUAUCAUUAAAUCUGUAUCCAUAUCCAUUAAGUAUCAUAUAAUUAAAAUAUUCAUUUAUUUCAUCUGUGGAUAUCCAUUAAGUUAUCUGCCCCGUAUCCGAGGCGGAUUUUAGCCGCAGAUAUUUGCGGGUAUGAAUAUUUUUGCCAUCCCUAUUUGGGAGUUGAGAAAUGAAAUAACAUUCUUUUAAAACCUUUCUACAGAUCAUAGAAUGUUGGACAUGAUAUAUAUAUCAAAGUCACUUCUUGGACAUGGUUCAUAGCUAAUUAAUCCAUUAUAGCCAUUGAAAAUAAUAAUAAUAAUAAUUAUGAAGUAGUUCAUGUUUUGUUUAGAAUGCUAUAAACCCACUUGUUAAGUCUAUAUUUUGUCCAAUAUUAGUCCUUUCCACUAAUUUACAUUUAUUUAAAAAUUUUAAAACUUUAAUUGAUUCCAAUAUAUGUACACCAAAAGGUUUCAAGUUUCAACCAUGUUCCAUCCUAUGAUCAGGUUUUAUUUAUUUAUAUUUAUUAAAAUAUUUUUUAAUUGAUUUGUAGAUUAUCAAGUGAGCUAGGUUUUCAUUGCAAGUUUCAAAUACCAACACAAUAUAUGUAGUCCUUUAUUUCAAACUUAUGCUACCUUGUACCUUUACCUUGUACACCUAGUUUAAUAGAAAACCACAAGUAGAAAAUAAUUAAGCUCUAACAAUAUGAAGCAUAUUAUUAUUAUUAUAUACACAAAUUUGUUAGUAAAUUUUUCAUCAGAAAAAGACUGUUUAUUAGUAAGUACGUACCUGGAGCUUGCAUAGUCAUAAAGUUUGUGAGUUGAAGAGAACAAAAUUAAUCCAACUUGUGCAUCACAAAGAAUGGAUAGUUCUUUAGCUUUCUUCAUCAAUCCUUUUCUUCUCUUUGAAAAAGUUACUUGCCGGCUAGUCAAAUUCUCAAUCCUUCGUAUCACAAUCUUUCCUCUCCCCAUCUCAAUUUAUAAUUACUCAACAAAUCAGCAAACUCUAUUUUUACUAGCUAGGGUUCUUGCAAUAUUUUAAUAUCUUAUUUUGACAUGUCCCGUGAGCUGAAUCUGAAAUACUGCCUCUAAUCUUUAAUAUAAGAAAAAAAAAUUAGUUUUUAAAUUCAUGAAAAGAUUUAUGUAUGUAAUCUAUAAUAUAGUUCAGAUACAUCAAUAUUUCAAUAAAUCUGAAAAUAACUUUUUUUCUUAUAUUAAGGAUUAGAGUGAACAUAUAUACAAAAUUUGUUAUAAUAGCUAAAAUUGAUAAGAAAUUUUUGAAAAAAAUGAUAAGAAAUAUUCUCAUCGAUUGGUUGAAUAUAAUGAAUUUAAUUAUUGCAUAAUCAUAGAAAUGAAAUAAAAAAAAAAGAUAAUAAAAAUUAAAUAUAAGUAAUGCAUAAAUUAAGAAUGAAGAAUAAUAGUAGUAGUAACUUACUGGAAAUUUAUUAGGAGAGCGUGUUAAAGCUAGAACGGGAAGAAGAAGAUGGUUUGUUAGGAUCUGAAAGUGGUUUUGUAGGACUCAAGGUGGUUUCUUUGAGCUGGUCGAGGAGUUUAAGGUUUUGGUGUGUAGGCCAAUGAGGGUUGAGCAAGUACAUAAAAAUAUGGGUACUUGCCAAUUAUGUUUCAGAAUUGUCAAAUGAGAAUCACAAAACAGCUCAAGUCACAACAAUAGUACAUAAGCUGCUGCCUGUAAGAAAAUGACAGCGUGUAACAAAUUUAUGAUCACGUGUCAGCCAAUGUGUGGUUUUCUACGACUCUUUAAUCUUACUUCAGGAAUCCAAUCAAAUAAAUUAAGGAAAAAAAAUGCUAUCUUUCAUGAUAGUACUAGUUAAAAAUUUAAACUAGAAUUAUUAUUUUUUUUAAAAAUUUUAUAGUCAAUUUUUUAAAGGACUUAAAGCUGUGAAAUGGACUGAUCCGGCCUGGUGUAUCAGACUAUAUAAAUGAGCUAGUUCANNNNNNNNNNNNNNNNNNNNNNNNNNNNNNGCCCAACCCGUAUGGGUCUCGUGGGCUAUUGGGUCAGCCCAAUCCAUUUCAUUUUAUUUUUAUUUAAUUAAUCUUACUUUAUGUCACUUUGAUGUAUUAGUGUCUUAUAAUUUUAUUGAGAUAUAAUUGGGUGCAAAUGUAAUUAAAUUUUACAUCAACAUUAAAUAUCAGUUAAAUUCUAGUUUGAUUAUAUUGUAAGAAAAUUGAAUCAAAUUAAUAAAUUAUAAACUUAUAAAUUUGAACGUGUUCGGGUAAAAUGUGGGUUGGAUCGCGUUAUUAAGUUGAACGGGUGAUCCGUAUCCAUGAGCACUCCUAUUUCAACACAAUCUAACAUUUUUUAUUUGAUCAAUUUUGUUACACUUCUUGGCCUUCAGAAUUUCUCACUUACUUUUGGUCACUCAAGGUGCAUCUUGGAAACUUGGACAAACAAUCACCGGACAUUUGGUGUAAAAUGUAAAAUAAUCCCAAAGGCUAAAUGCCAACAUUCAUUUAUGUCUAAUUUAACCAACUGUCAAUAAUAUCCCAUCCUACUGUAAAAAAAAAUAAAAUAAUUCCUAUCCUUAAAUAUUUGCAUAAAGACAAACAUAGCCUAUCAGUUUGUCAAAAAAAAAAAGAAAAAAGAACUAAGCCUAUCAUAUGAUCCUAAAAUCAAAUAUAUAAUUAACUAAAGGAAUGAAAUCAGUGUAUGCAUAAAUUUCAACGAUUAUGCAUGUAUUAUUUAGCUUAAGUGACAUCCUUUUGCCAUGGACCAAAAUCAUUGUAGUCAUCGCUCAUUCUUCUAUGUUGCAACUUGCAAGAAUGGAAGACAAAGAAAAUAUUAUUAUUAAUAAAAAGUCCUAGUUUCUAGCUGCUGCAACCAUAUAGUCUUACAUAUGAUAUAUGAUAAUGUUCCAGUUCCACACAAAUUUUUUGAACAAGUUACUUCCUCUUGCAGUCACAGAUGACUCAUUUGCAUGUUAGUUUUCGCACUCGAACACUUGUUUUUUGUUAUGCAAUAGGAACCAUUUCCACACUCCAAAUAAUCCAUCUUGCAAACUCACUCUCAUUUGAUUACUCCUACUUUAAGAAUGGUGAUAUCAAUUGGGAAGGUGAUGCUUCUCUUUAUAAAGGAGCUAUUCAACUCACUUCCAACACCAUUGAUCAAAACAACAACUAUAGCGUUGGUCGAGUCACGAGUUUUAAACAGCUGCAUCUCUGGGAUAUGAACUCUGGAAAACUCACCGACUUCACCACCAAAUUUUCCUUUGUUGUUUUUUCAAAAUCAAAGGAUUAUGGAGAUGGAAUGGCAUUCUUCUUGGCUGAUCCAAAUCUCCCACUUUUGAAGAAUAUCAAAGAAGGUGGCGGUCUUGGCCUUGUGGAUGGAGAACAAGUACUAAAAUCAACUCAAUACUCAUUUGUGGCAGUAGAGUUUGACACCUUCAAUAAUCCAUGGGACCCUUCAGGUGUAGGCACUCAUGUUGGCUUGAAUUUCAACUCUAUGAGGUCUAACAUAACUAAGCCAUGGUUGACCAAUAUUAUGAAAUGGAGAGUUUACAAUUGCAGCAUUAAAUACAAUUCCAGCACUCACAAUUUGAGGGUGUCAUUCACCAUGUAUGAUCAUGAUGAUAAACCAGUUAAAGAGCACAUAUCACAUAAAGUUGAUUUGAGAGAUUUCUUACCUGAGAGGGUUAUUGUCGGAUUCUCUGCUGCAACAGGAGUAUUGUAUGAGGUGCAUACUCUUCGAUCAUGGUCAUUUAAUUCAAGUAUACUAAUUGAUGAGAACAUGUUUCGGAUAGCAGGACCAAUAUCCAGUCCUGUAAUUUCUGAACAAGGAAACAAGAUAGGAUUGAAGGUAGCGCUUGGAAUUGGUACAGGUUUGGCUGUAAGUUUAUCAGGGCUGGUUUGUACUCUAUUAUGGAAAAGGAGUAGAGGGAGGAAAACAGAAUUUGGUUUUGAUCUCAACAUGGAUGAUGAAUUCCAAAAGGGAUCUGGACCUAAGAGGUUUUUCUACAAUGAACUAGUGAGUGCAACAAACAAAUUUUCAGAGUCAGAUAAGGUGGGACAAGGUGGUUUUGGUGGUGUAUACAAAGGUUAUUUGAAAGACUUGAACUCCUAUGUUGCUAUCAAGAGAAUGUCAAAAGAGUCGAGACAGGGAGUACUAGAAUAUGUAACUGAAGUGAAAGUCAUAAGUCAAUUGAGACACAGAAAUCUAGUACAACUUCUCGGUUGGUGCCACAGGAAGAAUGAUUUUCUUCUAAUAUACGAGUUUAUGUCAAAUGGAAGCUUAGAUUCCCAUCUAUACGGUAAAAAAAGCUUCUUGACGUGGACAGCGAGGUAUAACAUUGCAUUGGGCUUGGCUUCGGCAUUGCUUUACCUACAGGAAGAAUGGGAGCAGUGUGUGCUUCACAGGGACAUUAAAUCAAGCAACAUUAUGUUGGAUUCAUGCUUUAAUGCUAAGCUUGGCGAUUUUGGUUUAGCUAGGCUGGUAGAUCAUGAGAAAGGGUCACAAACAACAAUUCUAGCUGGGACAAGGGGCUAUAUUGCACCUGAAUAUUUCACAUCAGGAAAGGCUACUAAAGAAUCUGAUAUAUACAGCUUUGGUGUAGUGUUAUUGGAAAUAGCCACUGGAAGGAAAGCUAUUGAAAGAGAAGAAAUGGAGGGUCAAAUAAGUGUAGUUGAGUGGGUUUGGGAUCUUUAUGGCUUUGGAAAGUUCCUUCAAGCAGCUGACCCUAAGUUAUGUGGAGCAUUUGAUGAGCAGCAAUUGGAGCAUUUGGUGAUUGUUGGCCUUUGGUGUGUUCAUCCAGAUUAUUCAUUCAGGCCUUCUAUAAGACAAGUGAUUCAGGUGCUCAAAUUUGAGUUUCCUUUACCAAUUCUCCCAGAAAAAAUGCCUGUACCAACCUAUUUUCCUCCAACAAUAAAAGCACUUAUUUCUUCAGUUUCACCCGCCCACUGGUCGAAAAGUUAGAAAUUUGAAGUGUAACAAAUGAACAGUCAUCGGAGAACUUAAUUGUAUAGAAGCAAAAUAUAUAACAUCAUUAUUUGCAACAUAUAUGUGCAAUCGUUUUUUUUUUCUCCCAGAGCAGAUAUGCAUACGGAUUGCAAAUUUAUCUAUUACCAAAAACCAUAUUAAUACCAUUCUUUUUUUCAUUAUUUUUAAAAAUGAUGAAACAAUUGUAUACCAAUAUCAGUUUGCUCUAAAUAAUAUAUAGCAACGACAUUAAAAUUGAAAACGUGUCUCGUGCUCAACAUGUUAUUACAUUCAAAUAUACCAUUUUCUCAAAUUAUUACUAAUAUCGACAUAUCAAUAUCAAUGUCGUGUCUUUUAUGAUGACUAUGUCUAUGCUUCAUAGUUAAAUAAUACACGAGCUCAGUUGUGUGUAAGAAAAAACCUUCAAAAGUCAUUAGUUGAAAAUUUAAAGGAUGCAUGUGUGGCUUUUGAGAGAGAUGGAGUGACAAGUGUCCUAAAUUAUGAAGUUUGAUAACUUGUGGCCUAAAGAAAACAUUGCAAAAUGAUAUUACGUGUCUGUGUUUACAGCUUUGUUUAAUACUCCUAUCAUUGACCUUAGCCAAAAGACAACUUUCUAUUUUUAAAAUGUUACAUCCUUCCCUGAACCAAUUUACUAUUAUAUUUAGUUGUAUAUAUCUUUUAUUGUCUGAAUGUUUCUGUUAUCCAACCCAACAUAGUUUGUUCCUACUUAGUACAAUAUUACAACUUCAAACGUUGUUGUCCGUUAACUCUUAGGAGCAUAAUUGUGAUCCCUCCUGCAUAGUGUCCAUCGACACAAGUUGUGGGUGUAGGAAAUCUAGACAUGUACAAUGUGAUAAUUAAAAUACAUAAUUUACAUAGAAGAGGAAGUUAGAUAAAUGACAAAUAAAGAACAGUAAAUAAAUAAGUACUACAUGAAAGUGUUAGGCUUCAAACAUGAAACUAAACAACUCUGAUAUAGCUAAGCUAAACAAAUGGUUCAUAUAUUCUGUUAUGCAAGGGAAACAAUUUUGCUUUUUCUGAUAGUCCCUCUUGCACAUGCUCACCCUGUGUCUUUUCAUUACCCUAGGUUUAGCAAUAAUAGUAAAGAUCAGCCAAGGCUUGAAGGCGAUGCCACCAUUGUAGAUUCUGACUAUGUUAUUCGACUCACUCGGUACCCUGCUGACCCAGAUAAGACUUCUGGUGUUGGCCGAGUCAGAAGUCCCGAACUUAUCAAACUUUAUGACAAUAAAACAAAUCAACUGUAUGACUUUAGUACCAAGUUUUCUUUUAUUAUAUUUUCAAAUCACAGUAAGCAUGGAGAUGGUUUGGCAUUCUUCAUUGCAAGCCCAAAACUUCCAACAACAAAUCAUAUAGGAGGUGGAGGGGGUUUUGGUCUUAUGAAUGCAACGGAAGUUGCUAUAAACUCUACUGAGUAUUCAUUUGUAGCAGUGGAGUUUGAUACUCAUCACAAUCAUUGGGACCCAACUGUCUACCAUGUGGGAGUGAAUAUUAAUUCUGUGGUGUCCGAUAAACAUAUUGAAUGGUCCGUGGAUGUUUCAGAAAGGAAAUUUUAUCAUUGUAGCAUAGAAUAUAGUUCCAGAAACAAAAAUCUGGAUGUUUCUUUCACCGGAAAGAGAUUGAAUGAAGGGCAAGAGGAGCAGAGAUUUUCACACACAAUUGAUCUAAGAGAGCAUUUACCAGAGCAUGUUAUUGUUGGCAUAUCAGCUUCAACAGGAUCUGCAGAUGAGGAACAUCUGCUGCGGUCGUGGUCUUUCAGUACUCGGCAUGAAGAUACUCCUAAGAAGAAACGGAACGUAAUCAUAACUAGAUUAUGUGAAGUAUUAGGAAGUGGCGUCCUAAUGAUAUCUUUGAGUUGCAUAAUAAUAUUCUUCAUUGCAUUGUGGAAAAAGAAUAAAGCAAAAGAAGAACCUGCUACGUCAGAAACCAUCUCUGAUCAGAACAUGGAUGCAGAAUUCCAAUUGGGUGCUGGGCCUAAGAAGUUUAGUUAUCAGGAAUUAUUGGAUGCAACAAACAACUUUGAAGAGACACUGAAGCUUGGUCAAGGUGGUUUUGGUAGUGUUUACAAGGGUUAUUUUAAAGACACAAACUCAGUCGCAGCCAUAAAGAGGAGGAUAUCACCAAAUGCUCGGCAGGGUAAAAAGCAAUACUCAGCAGAAGUGAAGAUCAUUAGCCAAUUGAGACAUAGAAAUUUGGUGAAACUCAAUGGUUGGUGCCACAAGAAGAAUGAACUUAUCCUAAUAUACGAAUACAUGCCUAAUGGCAGCUUAGAUUUUCAUCUUUUUCGUGAAGGUAGCAUCUUGUCGUGGCACUUGAGGUACAAUAUAGUUCUUGGGUUGGCCUCAGCAUUGCUUUAUUUGCAGGAAGAAUGGGAAAAAUGUGUGAUUCACAGGGACAUAAAAUCAAGCAACAUAAUGUUGGACUCCAACUUCAAUACUAAGCUUGGUGAUUUUGGGCUAGCUAGGUUGAUGGAUCAUGAGAAAGGGUCAGAAACUACAGUUGUGGCUGGAACCAGAGGUUACCUAGCUCCGGAAUACAUGGACACAGGCAAGGCUAGAAAGGAAUCUGACAUAUUCAGUUUCGGGGUUGUUUUGUUGGAGAUAGCCUGUGGAAAAAAGGCCAUACACUACCAAGAAUUGGAGGGUGAAGUAUCAUUAGUUGAGUGGGUUUGGGAGCUAUAUGGAUUGAAAAAUAUCAUUGCAGCAGCAGAUCGUAAGCUAUAUGGGCAAUUUGAUGUGAAGGAAUUGGAAUGUUUGCUAGUAGUUGGACUUUGGUGUGCUAAUCCAGAUAGCACAUCAAGACCAUCUAUAAAGACAGUGAUUAAGGCACUAAACUUUGAAGCUCCAUUACCAAUUCUCCCACAAAAUAUGCUAUCUCUAGCAUCUCGGUCUGCCGCAACAAAUGAACAAUUAUUAUCAGUUCCUUCUUUCAUUAGGUUCACAGGUUAGUUUGAACCUGAAAGUAAACAGAAUGUAGUCAUUGUGAUAUUGAUUAUUCAUAUCCAGUCUGGGCAUUUAGGUGCUGAAAAUUGUAGCAUUUUUCUUUUACCCAUAUAACAACUACUAUUCUGUAAGGUUCUUUUUCCUAUGACUAACUGUUCCGUGAGUUAAAUAGUCUAGCUCAUACUCUCAAUACGAGUAUCAUUACAACGUUCCUUAUGAAUAUUCAAUUAAUAAGAAAUAUUUUGAAAUUCUUCAUUGUGAUAAUCGAAAUUCUAUGUUUUUGUAUCACAAUAUUCUUAGUCUCAACUAUAUUACAGUGAAAAUAAAACUCAAUUUAACUAACUGGAAAUUGGAAUAUAUGGCUAAUGCAAACUGGAAUUCAUUCACAUAAGAUUCUGGAAAUUACAAAACACAUACAUGAUUCCAGUCUAUUCUUUCAUACACACACACGCGCACAAUACACAAAACACACACAUUAGGAUAAAGCAAAGCACGCCAUUCUAACACAGAACUCGAUUUAGUAUCUAACCAGAGAUAUCAAUGGUCUUGACUUCAGGCUUCUUAACUUCUUCUUUAGGAACAGUUACAGUCAGAACACCGUUCUCCAUAUUCGCCUUAACUUGAUCCAUUUUAGCAUUCUCUGGCAAUCUGAAUCUCCUCAAGAACUUUCCACUGCUACGCUCCACGCGAUGCCAUUGAUCGUUCUUAUCUUCUUUUUCAACGCUUCUUUCUCCACUUAUCUGAAGAACUUUAUCGUCUUCAAUCUCAACCUUCACUUCCUCCUUCUUCAGUCCUGGAAGAUCUGCCUUGAACACGUGCGCUUCUGGAGUCUCCUUCCAGUCCACACGUGUGCUCACGAAUGCAGAAUUUUCACGAGACAAUUCAGGAAAGGAAGCGGAUAGGGAAUUAGAUAACGGAAAAUCCUUGAAUGGAUCGAAAACAUCGAGGGAGAAUGGAUCGAAUACGUUGCUCCUUCUACCACCGAAGAAACUUGGAAUCAGCGACAUUUGUGAUUUCUUGGAUGAAGGUUUGAAAGCUUUGAUGAUUGUUGUUGAAUAUUGUGAUCUGCAAUUCUUUGAUGGUUUGGAAGAUGAUACUGAUGAGGAAUUUAUACCAAGUAUAGGAGGAAAAUAGUACUUGCUGGAAAAUUCGAAAAGCGUUUGGCAGUUUCGGCGCCAAAUGUUGUAGAAAGUUCUAGGUUUUCUAUUUGGGGGUAAAUAGAACGUUCUAGAUAUCUUCAUAUGAAUGAAAUCAAUCACUCUGAGUUUGGUUUGGGCUUUGUAGCCCACGUCAUUGGGCUAAAAUGAAAGUUGGGCUGAGAGAGCUUCUUUUCGCCUCUAUGAGUUUUCUUGCCCGAUGCCUAAAAUUAUCAAAAUAUCUCUUUUAUUAUUUAAGUAGAUGACGUGUAAAAUCCUGAAAAUAUUAUGUUAAGGGUAAUUGCUUUUUCAAAUUUCUCAUUUUUAUAACAUCUGCUACCAAAAAUAACAUGUAAAAUCUUAGUUAAAAAAAAAAAGUAGUGUGUAAAAUUUUAAAAAUCUCAUGUUACAGAGUGUUUUUUCUUCACGUUUCUCAUUUUUACAAUGAAUUAGCGAAUGUUUAAAAUCUUGAAAAUUUUAUGUUAGAAGCUUUUAUUUAUUUAUUUAUUUAUCAAAUUUCUCAUUUUUAUAACAUCCGCUACUUAAAUAACUAAAUGACGAAAUAAUAAAAUAGAAAACACAGGUGCCACAAAACUCUUGUGCUGAUGUUCCUCUUCCACUUAUUGUUCAUACAAGAACAAAAAUAUAUACACUAUUUUUGGGUGAAAUUUUACACAGCUGAAAAAUAUAUUUUAAUCAAUAUGGUUUUUUUAAUCAAUGGUUCUAAGAAAGAGUUGCAACUUGCUUCCAAAAAACAUGAUUUUUAGAUCAUACUCAACAAAACAUGAUUUUUUGAUUUCCGUAACUAAGAUUUUAAGGCAUACUCAACAAAUAAUUCCAAAUUGCUUUUGGAAAGUCCCUCGAUAUUUCACUUGGAACCCAUGGUGUUCACUUCAAAUUGUUCCGAUUGCCCCACAGUGGGCACCAAUUGUUGUGAAUUCGUCUAAAAUCACACCAAUGAAAACUUGAUGUGUGGAGCAAUAGAACGACGACCAAUAUCAAGAGGAAUAAGCAAUAAUAAUAACCAAUAAACAAGAUAAAAGAGAAGAAAGAACAUGAUAUUUGUUUACCUAGUUCGGUCCAACAAUAACCUACUCCGAGGAGAGGCAUUCCACUAUAAUCAAAGAGUCACUGUGAUUUUAUUGACAAAUUCACAACAUGAAUUAAUAAGGAUACAUAGUAGUUUUAAAUACAUUCAAAAGAAAGAAACAUGAAUCAAGACAAUUAUUUUCAUCUAGAACUAGAACACACAAGUGAUUCAGAAGGAGAACCAUCAUCAGAAGUAGUGACACCAUUUGAGUUUGUGUUUUGACUUUUCUCUGAACCAUUUAUGCUGAAUGGAGUAGUGAAUGACUUCAAAGGACCCUCAAGAUAUGUUGGCACAGGCAUACUUGAUGGAAGAUUAGGCAAUGUAGCUUCAAAAUUAAUCACUUGAGUAGCUUGUCUUAUUGAAGGCCUAUUAUUAGGAUCAGGAUGAGUACACCAAAGACCAACAAUCAUUAAGCACUUAAUUUGUUCCUCAUCAAAAUCUUCACCUAGUCUUGGAUCUACUGCUUCAAGAAUUCUCCCACUUCCAUAUAGCCCCCAAACCCACUCCACAAUAUUUAUUUCAUUUUCUUGAGCCUUAAUGAUAGGUUUUCUUCCACAAGCUAUCUCUAAAGCAACAAUUCCAAAACUAUACACAUCUGUUUCUUUACUAGACCUUCCUAUGGUAGCACAUUCAGGAGCCAUGUAUCCUAAAGUCCCUGCUAUAGCUGUAGUUUGUGCACCUUUUGCAUGAUCCACAAACCUUGCUAAACCAAAAUCUCCAAGUUUUACAUUGAACUCUGAAUCCAACAUUAUGUUGCUUGCUUUUAUGUCUCUAUGUAUAACACAUUGUUCCCAUUCUUCAUGCAAAUAUAACAAUGCAGAAGCCAAGCCUCUAGCAAUUGUAUAUCUAAUAGCCCAUUUCAACAAACUUUGUUCCUUGAAAAGAUGAAUGUCUAAACUACCAUUUGGCAUGUACUCAUAUACAAGCAAUAGCUUUUUUCUUUCAUGACACCAACCUAAUAGUUGCACUAGAUUUCUAUGCCUUAAUUUGCUAAUAAUUGUUACUUCUGAUGCAAACUCCUUUAUCCCUUGACGAGAAUCUUCUAACACCCUCUUAAUAGCAACAUAAGAUUUUGUGUCUUUAAGAAAACCUUUAUAAACACCUCCAAAUCCUCCUUGUCCUAGCUUAUGUUCAUCUUUGAAAUUAUUAGCUGCAUGUGCUAAUUCUGCAUAUGUAUACUUCUUAGGUCCUCCUCUUCCAAAAUCCUCACCCAUGUACUCUUCAAAAUCACCAUCUUCCUCUUCUUUUCCUUUCUUUAACUUCUUCCACAAGUAAAAUGAAAUAAAACCAAACACCGCAAUGAAAACAAAUCCACCAAUUCCCAAUCCUACUGCUAGUCCUGCCUUGGACUUUUUCUUCUUAGAACUAGGAGUAGGAGCUAUGUUGGUAUUUUCUAUGUUUGUUUUGUUGUUAUCUUCUUCUGCUUCCAAAUUUGAGCUAAAAUCCCAAGAAUUGAGAGUAUGAAUAGCAGUUGUAUUUCCUGUGGCAGCUGAGAAGCCAAUAGUAACAAAUUCUGGCAGAUAAAGUCUGAGAUCAACAAUGGAAGAUAGAUGUUGAUUCACAGUGGUAGAAGUUACAUUGUUAAAACCAGUGAAUACAACACUUAGAUUUAAUGAACUAGCAUUGUAACUUACCCAAGCCUCAUUGAGUUUACCUUGUUUGAUAUCAGCCAUCCAUGUCACAUUAGCAAUAGAUAUCAUUGAGUUGAUGUCGAUUCCGGCAUGUUCAAGCGGUGGAUCAAAAGAAUUCUUAUAGAUAUCAAACUCAACAGCAACAAAUGGAUUAGUUUGAGUUGAGUUCAUUGCUCGGUCAUCAAGUGUUAGACCCAUAGAACGACCUUUUGUAGCAUUAGGCAUCUUUGAACCAGAAGGGGCAAGAAAGAAUGCCAUACCAUCUCCAUAAUGUCUUCUAUUCUGUGAAUUUAUGGUAAAAGUGAAAUGGGAUGUGAAAUCUGUGAGAUUUUUUGUAGUUUUAUCCCACAAAUGGAUAUGUUGGUAAUAUGUGGCUCUACCAAUGCUUCCAAAGUUCAUAGUAAGAUCGAUAGCAGAUGAUGCCGGUUUUGCUGAUCCUUCAUAGAUUAUGUUUUUAUCAUUAGGAUCAAAACUAGUGAAGUUAAAGGUCAAUGAGGAUACAUUUGGAAUAAUCAAGUUCAAGAGUAAGAAAAUAGAUAUCAAGAAAUAAUUGUGGAAUUCAACAUGCAUUGAUUUCGGUGCUGCAAAGACCAUUAUUGGGAACUAGUUUGCUGGGAUUAGUUUACUUGAUACUGCAAGAGUCAAGCUACUUUAUGAGCUUCCUAAGCAGCCUUUGUUUACCAACUAUUCUUCAUUUCCUUGUCUUUUCGAAAAUGAGUCUUAUUGUAUAUUUUAUAAGCUAGUUAGCUCAUUGACGUGUUGCUAAACAACUUGCAUGACAUAGUGCUCGUUUGUAUCGCAGUAAGUUUGCCAAAAUCACGACGAGGCAGCCACCAUGGUUUUACAAAAAGUCAAAAACUACAAAUUGCUUGUUCCAUAUUAUGGACGCGGUCAGGGAGUUUGACAAAAUCACGGUGACUAAUAUAAUUUUACAAAAUCUACACUUAGUGAUUGCAAUAUCCCUAUUAAUUGAGUUAUAUUCACAGCAGCGUCAAUAAUGUGUUUAUCUUUGAGUGAAACAAUUAUUUAGCAGAAUUAAUUUAUAAACACAAAAAAACAUGUGCAAGAUUGUAUAGUCUGCAAGUUGGGUUAAUAAAGCCAGGUUCAUUUAGUUGCUUGGAAUAUUAAAAUACUAUGUUCUAUAACAAAACAAGGCUUUGUCUAACAAAACAAAGGACAUAAUUGAGUUUGACUCGUCAGAAACGGUGAUGGCUUCUGCACCACUUUGUUCUUCCCUCUACCUUUGCAACAACGAAGCAAUGACGGAGAAAGUCCAAAAAGAAAGUUAAGAUGCUAAAUUAAAUUAGAUAUUCCUUUUGAGCACUGUUGAGAUACUCAAUAAUUUGGCCUUCCUAGAAAUUGUCACAAGGGUACAUCCGUACAUAACGAAAUCCAAAAGAUUUCUAGUUACACUACAGGUUACAAGCCCUUUGACAAAAGUAGUCAUCACUUCUUUUUAAAUUUUUAGAUAAGUUCAUGUUUAGUAUUUUACUGUAUGUAUUUUCGAAUUACGGUGAUUCAUGGUAAUUUUGUAGAAGGUAUACUCUGUAAUUUAUGCAAAAACACAAGAAAUUUAGUUUAUACAAAAAUAAUAGUGGUCACCGUAAUUCUUGCAUAUUUAUUGCGUUAUACACUCACUGUGAUAUCCAAUACACACUAAGUUUCCGUAUUGUAUCGUUCAAUUAAAAAAAAAAACACACACACACACACAUCGUUAUUUCAAUUUGAUUACCUAUCAGAUGAACUUCUGAUUAUUAUCAGAGUAUCUCCCCUUAAAAAUCGGAUGGUUAAUACCAUUUUUUUUAUUUGUUCUUCCUUUCCUAGCAUAACAAGCUCCAACUCUUUCAUAAAACCACGGAAAGGGAAAAAAAAAAAGUAGUAUAUGUGAUGUGAAUAAUGUCGGAAGAAUUAUGUCCCUGUCGGGGCGGCUCCAGACAUAAAUUAUUAGUGGGGCUAAUAUUUUUGGUUCAAAAAUUAAAUUAUAUUAAACUUACUAAAAAGCAACACAGUACUUAGAUAGUGUAGCAAUGAGGCAUCAAAUGUUCAUGUAGUGCAUACAUAUAUAAACUAGCAUGAUGGAGUUUCUUCAAUCUUAUAAACAAUUUCAGUCAGGAAAGUAACCUACCGAAUCAAGUGUAAUAUGUGUAUAUGUAAUACACAAACUUUAUCCUUUCAAACAGAGGUGUGCUAAGCCAUGGCAUUUGAAUGUUGAGGACUCUGAAGUUAUCCACAGUGAUACUUUUUGAAGCAAUUAUCAGUUUCAAUCUUAGUGAUUCAUUAUUUCAAUUUGAUGAUCAAGAUUUCAUUAUAUUAAUAGGACAGAUUACCAACAGAAAUGUUAUUAUGACACAAUUUGUUUAAGGGGGAUUGAUGUGACACUGAACUGGCAACAUUUAAUUUAAUAUCUAAAAUGAAAUAAACAUUGUAGAUUGGGUUUGUGGGCUAUAUGGAAGAGGGAAAAUUCUUGAAGCAGUGGAUCCAAAAUUAAGUGGAGAUUUUGAAGAGGAACAAAUCAAGUGUUUGAUGAUUGUUGGUAUUUGGUGUGCUCAUCCUGAUCCUAAGAAUAGGCCUUCAAUAAGACAUGCUAUUCAAGUGCUUAAUUUUGAAGCUCCACUGCCUAAUCUUCCAUCAAGUAUGCCUGUACCAACAUAUCUUGAGGGCCCUUUGAAUUCAUUCAAUGCUCCAUUUAGCAUAAGUGGUUCAGAGAAAAGUCAAAGCCAGAAUAUAAUAAGCUUUAGUUCAAACACAAACUCAUCUGGGUUUACUACUACUACUACUACAACUUCUGAUGAUGUUUCUCCUUCUAUGUCUCUUCUGUAUUCUAGAAGAAAUUAAUUUGAUUUUAAUCCAUUUUUAUUUCUUUUGAAUGUAUUUAGAACUUGUCUUGAUGUAUCCUUGUUAAUCACAUUUUUUUAUGUUAGACAUUUUUCAUUUGUUUAUUCAAAUAUCAUUGUUAAUUGUUGUUCAUAGCAUAGCAAGCUCCAACUCUUUAGACCCUUUCUCGUUUAACUAUUUCAUAAAUAUUACUAUAAAUUUUGUUUGAUAUGGAUUGAAUCUAACUCCACCUCAAAAGGACUCUAAAUUGGGUUCAUGAAGCCCAACUUGUACAUCGAAAUCAGUGACAAAUCCUACCCCUGGACAAUUGGCAUCCGGCAGUUCAUUCUUCCCCUUUCUUUUAUAGGGUUCAUUCUUCUCGUUCAAUUGAUACGAAUUGAACCGGACUCUACCUCAAAACUAUAGUUCAAAGAGGAGGAUUGUCCAAUACUAUAUAAACCCUCACACUAGAUUCAUGAAUUCUGAUGUGGGGACUCCAAAUUAGUUUCAUGAAGCCAACUUUCACAUGGAAAUUGGUAACAAAUUUCCAUAUAAAGAACAUCAUUAUAAAACAUUAUAAUACUUAUUCAUUGACCUUGACCUUGACCUUGUAAUGUAUGAUGUUGUACAAAAUAAAGCAAAAGAAUUUUGGAAACGUAGGUCAAUUUUACACGUAUAUGGAUGGAUUAUUUGCAACAUAGGAUUCAUAAACACGGAUUGACCAAGACUAAUUACCCAUUGACUCAUUCAACUAUCCAACACAAACAAUGAACCUUCGUUAAUUAUGAUUACUACUAUUACUACCUAACAUGCAACCACACUUCAUGCCAUUUUGUAUAUGAUUCUAUGUCCACACAACAUCAAAUUUGCAACCAUGGCAGCAUCUUGCAACUUUCAGAAAAUCCAUCUUCUUGCUUUCUUUCAUUUAACAUUAUCCCUCUUGCUUCUUGUAACAUCUCAUGGAGCUCCAUUAUCAUUCAACUAUGAUCAACUUGGUAGUGACAAAACAAAAGCCUUAAAUUUUUCAGGUACUGAUGUCUAUCAAGACAACCAAGUCCUCCAACUCACAAGAUACGAGAAAGACAGUCUAGGUAGAGUCACAUAUUCAAAACUGUUUCAUCUUUGGGACAUAAACACAAAUCAAGUCACAGAUUUCACUACUCGUUUCUCAUUUACUAUUAACACCCCUAACAAAACCAAUCAUGGAGAUGGCAUCACAUUCUAUUUGGCACAUCCAAAUUUUCCACUACCUGUUCCAAGAGAUGGAAGUGGUAUUGGUCUUGUAAGCCCUGUUAAAUUGAAUAAUCCAAAUUUCAGAAAAGAAUAUCCAUUUGUAGCUGUGGAGUUUGAUACUUUUUUUAAUGAUUUUGAUCCUAAAUAUGAUCAUGUUGGGAUUGAUGUUAAUUCUAUAAGCACUUCUUACACUACACAAUGGUUCACUAGCAUGGAUGAAAGAGGAUAUGAUGCUGAAGUGAGUUAUAAUUCUAGUUCAAACAACUUAUCUGUCACCUUCACAGGUUAUUCAGAUAACAAAAUGAUUCAACAGAAUUUGUGGAGUGUUGUCGAUUUGAGAGAAGUUCUACCUGAUUGGGUUGAAUUUGGAUUCACUUCAGCAACAGGGUUGUUAUGGGGGGAGUAUCAUACUCUUAACUCAUGGUCCUUCAACUCAAAUUUAGAUUUUGAAGCAGAAAAAGAUGGAACAAAAAUAGGACUAGUUAUAGGACUAAGUGUUGGUGGUGCUGUUGUUUUGAUUUGUGUUAUUGGGUUGGUUUGUUUUGUGAAAUGGAAACUGAGGAAUAAAUAUACGAACGAUGUUUUGCAUUCUGAUCUUGCAAUGGAUAAUGAUUUUGAAAGAAGCUCUCUACCUAAGAAGUUUACCUUUGAAGAGCUUGCUAGAGCAACUAACAACUUUGCAAAAGAACACAAAAUCGGAGAAGGAGGUUUCGGAGGAGUCUACAAGGGAUUUAUAAAAGACUUGAAAACUCAUGUUGCUAUAAAGAAGGUUUCUAAGGAAUCAAAUCAAGGAGUUAAGGAGUAUGCAUCUGAAGUUAAAGUGAUUAGUCAAUUGAGGCAUAAGAAUUUAGUUCAACUUUUCGGAUGGUGUCACAGACAAAACGAUCUGCUUUUAGUUUAUGAGUUUGUGCAAAAUGGAAGCUUAGAUUCUUACCUUUUCAAAGGAAAAGGUUUACUAACAUGGACAGUGAGAUAUAAUAUAGCUAGAGGCUUAGCCUCAGCAUUAUUAUACCUUCAUGAAGAGUGCGAACAAUGCGUACUUCAUAGAGACAUAAAACCGAGCAAUAUUAUGUUGGAUACUAAUUUCAAUACAAAGCUUGGUGAUUUUGGUUUGGCUAGAUUAAUGAACCACGAGAUCGAAUCAAAAACAACUGUUUUAGCAGGUACAUAUGGUUAUUUAUCACCUGAAGCUGCUACUAGAGGUAAAGCUAGUAGAGAAGCUGAUGUAUAUAGUUUUGGAGUUGUUGCAUUGGAAAUAGCUUGUGGUAGAAAAGCAAUUGAACCGAGUCUCGUUGAAGAUAAUAUUUACUUGGUAGAUUGGGUUUUGGAAUUUUAUGGUAAAGGUGAGCUUCUUAAAGGAAGUGAUUCAAGAUUAUAUGGAGAAUUCAAUGAGAAGGAAAUUGAGAGAUUAAUGAUAGUUGGACUUUGGUGUACUCAUAUUGAUCAUGUUCAAAGACCUAUGAUUAGGCAAGUUGUUCAAGUGCUUAAUUUUGAUGCUCCAUUGCCUAAUCUUCCAUUACAGAUGAAUGCUUCUAGUUCUACCUAUAAUACAUCAUUCUAUUCUGUGUCUUCUAAAUCUAAGAGUCCUUCUGAUUUUGCAACUAAGACUUCAACUUCAAGCAAUAGUACCGUCACAGGGUCCUCCUCGCAAUCAAGUACUGCCUUUGAAAUCAUUUCUCCAUCAGCUGCACUUCUAAAUACAUUCUAGUUUGAUUUUAUGUUAUAAUUAUAAUCUGUAUUUCUUUCUUUUAUAAGCUUUAUCUUAGGAAUGAAUUGAGAUUGUACAUUAGUGUUACACAUAAUCUUUUGGCUCUUUUAUAUUUACUUGUCUAAUGCAUUUUCUUCUUGCAAGUUGCAACUUCAAGUUUUAAACUCACCUUAGUUUAGUGCCACAAAUAAUUUCUAAGUCCUUUAAUAUGUAUAGGUCCAAUGCUUUUUUAUUUUUCCUGUAACAUCAAAUAUAAAAGUUCUUGGGAAAUCACUGUCUUUUGUCUUAAUCUUCUCUAAUUAAAUAUGUUAUUUGACUGGUUUUCUAAUUAAAGUCAUAUGUUGCAUCUUUGGGACGAAGUAAAAUCUAUAUGUAAAUCUUUCUUUUCAAACAAGCUACCCAUCUUUAUGUAAAUCCUUUUUCUUUUUACUUUUUCCUUUUUUCUUUUUUCUUUUUUCAUAAGUUUCAACUCCUCAACACGUUGUCUCCAAAAGACAAUUUGUUAAAGCAAGGUAAAAAGAUAUUUCCGCACGUACAUUAUAUUUCCAGGCUUCUAAGUUCUAACAAUUGAUUUCUUGUCAAACAAACAAUUGACUUCUCAAUAUAAGUUUAUUAUUAUUUUAUUUCAAAAAAAGAAAAGAAUGUGAAAUUGUAUUCAUAUAUUAUAUAUUAUUUUUAGGCAUGCGGGAAUUUUUAUGAAGAAAGAGGUAUAGUGAACUUCUUGACAGAUCCACAAGAAGCGAGAUCGACACUCCGAUCAGCGGACGUUAUGGUAUAUGGAUGGGUGGGAAACAUGUUUUGUGUAGAUUUAAAUGUAGUUUCCUCACUUGUGGACUGAGAGCCGAAGAUUUUACAGUAGCGGAAGGAUAAAACAUGAAAAACAUAGGAUGUGCGAGAAACACAUACACAGGUGGGAAAAGAAAUUCUCAAGUAAGAAACGUACCUAGUAUGAAUUCUUUAGUUUUGGCCCAAUUCAAAUGAUGUGGGCUUCAAAGACCAACCCAGCCUCAUGGUGAUUUCAUGAGAUCUCCAGAACGUUCUUUUCAGUUAUCACCCCCAAAUAGAAAAANNNNNNNNNNNNNNNNNNNNNNNNNNNNNNNNNNNNNCGUUCUUUUACCACAAUUGGCGCGGAAAUGGCCAAACGGUUUUCGAAUUUUCUAGCAAAGACUCGUUUCCUCCUGUAAUUCAUAUAAAUGCCUAUCAAUUAUCCUCUGGCGAACCAUCAAAGAAUUUCAAAUCAAAACAUUCAUAACAAUCUUCAAAGCUUUCAAAUUCAGAGAAGAAAAAGAUGUCGCUGAUUCCAAGUUUCUUCGGUGGCAGAAGGAGCAACGUCUUCGAUCCAUUCUCCCUCGACGUUUUCGAUCCAUUCAAGGAUUUUCCGUUAUCCAAUUCACUUACCGCUUCCUUUCCUGAAUUGUCUCGUGAAUAUUCUGCAUUCGUGAGCACACGUGUGGACUGGAAGGAGACUCCAGAAUCGCACGUGUUCAAGGCAGAUCUUCCAGGACUGAAGAAGGAGGGAGUGAAGGUUGAGAUCGAAGAUGAUAAAGUUCUUCAGAUAAGCGGAGAAAGAAGCGUUGAGAAAGAAGAUAAGAACGAUCAAUGGCAUCGCGUGGAGCGUAGCAGUGGAAAGUUCUUGAGGAGAUUUAGAUUACCAGAGAAUGCUAAAAUGGAUCAAGUUAAGGCGAAUAUGGAGAACGGUGUUCUAACUGUCACUGUUCCUAAAGAAGAAGUUAAGAAGCCUGAAGUCAAGACAAUUGAUAUCUCUGGUUAGAUACUAAAUCGAGUUCUGUGUUAGAUUGGUGUGCUUUGCUUUAUUCUAAUGGAUAUGUGUUUUGUUGUGUACUGUGAGUAUGAAAGAAAAGGAAUGAAAUCAUGUAAUGUGUUUUGUAAUUUCCAGAAUCUUAUGUUAUGUGAAUAAAUUCCAGUUUGAAAUAAGUAUGAUAUUCCAUUUUUAAGUCAAAUUUAUCUCUCUGAUGGUAUAUGAAGUACUAGAAGAAUAUUAGUAUGAAUUUGAAAUUAGCUGAAUAAUGUUACGGAUGCAUUCAAUAAUAUAUUCAGAUAGAAUAACCAACUUAAUUAACAUUUUGCAUUUCUAUGGAUCAUUCUAGAAUAUUUAUAAUAUAAUGACUUAAUGAUACAACCUUACAAUUUUAAGGAUUAACUAGCAUGUUAUACUGCUUACAGAAUAGUAGUUGAUAUAUGUGUGCAAAUGAAAAAUGCUACAAAUUUUCAGCACCUCCAACUCAUAAGAUCCGAAACUGGAUAUGAAUCAUAGUAGUUUGACUGCAAUCUGUUCACUUUCAAUUAACCUGUUGCCUAAAGAAAGAACGAACUUAGAAAAAUUGCCCAUUUAUUAUGGGAGAAGACAGUGGACCUAGGAAUGGCAUGUUUUGGGGAUGGAGCUUGUAUUCUUUGACCGAUUUUUACGGUAGCAAAUCGGUAUACAUUGUAACUUAGCUGUUUUAUUUUGGGACUUCGUGUGGUUGACUCUAUCAAUGAGAAUACUACGAUAUUUUCUCCUUUUGUGACCCUUUUCUGCGCCUAUUUGUAGUUUCCCUUCGAUCGGGACUUACCAUUAAAAAAAUGGCCGUGUAUGGGUAAAUGAUAGUUGGCAAUGGAGGAGGAACUACUUUAGUUUGGAGGAAGAGCUUCAUAGGAGUUUAUUGAAGGUUAUUGGAGGUUUAUCCAUCACAAAAGGAGGACGACUCGUGGUCAUAUGCUAAUGGAGGUGGGUUCACGGUUAGCUCUAACUACUUGUAUUUAUUAAAAAUUAUCUUCAUUGGAAUUGGUAUCAGUGGGGGCUAUUUCAAAAAUUUGGGGGAGGGGCUCCGUCUAGUGUUCUCUUGGAAAGCGCUACUUGGUGGGUUACCAAUGGGAGAAAAUUUAGUAAUUAGAAGCAUGAUUUCAAAAUGUCGUGGCUGCUUCGUGUUCGCUAUGUGUUGGGGUUAAUGAAAUGGAAAAUCACUUGCUUUAAGUUGCUUAUUUCAUGUCCAAUGGCUUGGGUCGUAUGGUCUUUGGUACACUGGUGAUUUGGAGUGACUACGGUAUUGUCGAUAGGGCCUGCCCACACACAUGUGCCGGGUGUGUGACUACAUCAAGUCUCAAAAUUUUGAGGCGCUAGUUAUAUAUAUGUUUAAUGUUCAUAAAAUAUUAAAUGUUUAUUAAUGGAUUAGUGGUAGCUUGUAAUGAUUUUGAGUGUAAAUUCUUUUGUUCAAAUUCCUAUAAUGUUUUUUUUUUUUUUUGUAUUANNNNNNNNNNNNNNNNNNNNNNNNNNNNNNNNAGUUUGUCUUUUUAAUAAUUGAUUAUGAUGUCUUUUUUGGAUGUUAUAUACGAUAAUAAUUAUUAUCUUUUUAUAUUAUUUAUAAUUUAAAUUUUUUUAUAUUAGUGAUUUGCGAACAGCUAUAGAGAUGCUAUCGUUAAUUUUGUUUCUUAGGCAGGCCGCGGCCUGUCCAACCCACAUGUAGCUCCGCCCGUGGACAGAACAANNNNNNNNNNNNNNNNNNNNNNNNNNNNNNNNNNNNNNNNNNNNNNNNNNNNNNNNNNNNNNNNNNNNNNNNNNNNNNNNNNNNNNNNNNNNNNNNNNNNNNNNNNNNNNNNNNNNNNNAAGUCAGAAUCAAUUCUACACGUUCAGAAUCAAUUCUGGAUGCUCCAGAAUUGAAACCAAACAUACACUAUGAUGUCUUUUUUGGAUGUUAUAUACGAUAAUAAUUAUUAUCUUUUUAUAUUAUUUAUAAUUUAAAUUUUUUUAUAUUAGUGAUUUGCGAACAACUAUAGAGAUGCUUUCGUUAAUUUUGUUUCUUAGGCAGGCCGCGGCCUGUCCAACCCACAUGUAGCUCCGCCCGUGGACAGAACAAUAAACAAUCCAACUCAUUCUUAAAAAUUGAAGCUUUAAGAAUGGUAUUUUACAAAGUUGAAGCUUUUAGUUUAGAAUAGUAAUAACAAUAACAUGGAUAUCAGAUUCAUACAAUACAUGUUUAAAACCAUGAACAUAUUUUGGUAUUGUCAUUCCAUCCUUCUUUAAAAGUCCAAAUAUUGAAACUAUAUCUCAUUAUUCUAUUUCACUCUUCGUAUUUAAACAUAACAAUACGUCUUUAUAUACUAUAUAAGAUGCCAUAGACACUACUAAAUAACAUUGAUCACCUUCCAACAUUUAUAAAAUUGUUAUUGAUAAUGGUCAUUUUGCACUCCCGCCAUCCCAUAUUAGAUGUUUGUUUGGACAUUUCACACAAUUUAAAAAAGUGUGAUAAUUAAAUAGAGAGAUGCAACAUUUAUUUAAUUGUUCUAAAAUAGUACUGAUGACUUAUUUGAGAGUCAUGACUCCUAAAAGUAGUAAUGAUUAAACAGUACAGUUGUAAAAUAAUAUAUUAAAAGUAGAAUAGGUUAAAAAAUACAUGAAAUAACUUUUAAAAAAAGAAAAGAAAAUUAGAUCAAAUUUCAAAAUAUACCCCUACACAAAGCACAAGGCAUGCACCACUUUAAAUCCUUAGCAAUAAAUGGAAAAGUUGAUCACUUAUUUUAUCAAUAAUGUAUAAUUUCUCUACUUAAAAGUUGCCGAUUAGGGCAGACAACUUGGUCGACAAUUGUUUGCUCUUAGAUGUAGUAAUCAGCGAUUGGUCAUCUAGUCCGCCAUCAUGCGGCGCCUAAGGUUGAGGGUUGAUUUCUCCCUGAGGGUUGAAUUUUCUUGGAUAUUGUAACUGGCAAGAGUCAUGUUGUCACGUAGAUUCUCAUUGUUGAACAUCAAUACUUGCUGGUGCACCGGUAUUUCUUUCUCCUCAAAAAUUUUCUUCUUCACAUCGAUUAUCGUGUCUAAACAGUUAACCGAUAGGGUAAACGGUCUCCGCCCACUCUUUAUGAAUAUUUUCAUCUACACCUCAAUUACCAACACAUUAAUCAAUCAUAAAAGCAACCGAAAGAAGACAAAAAAACCCAUUGCGAAAUUUAUUACAGCACAACAAAGCAAAAUAAAGGACACAUACGAUACCUUAAGAUGUUUAUCGACAAAGUUUGGAUCGGAUGUGAUAGUUUCCCAUGACUUGCUCACACAUUUGAAUCGCACGAUGUCUUUUACACUAAGCUGAGCUAGGAUUCCGCCGAUGAGUUCCAUGGGGAGGAACGCUGAGUUAUUUGCUGCAUUGGAUCGACGACUUCGCUUUCUAACCAUAGUAGAAGAAGUUGAAUAAACCCUAACUACGUAACACAACUCGAUCAGUGAGCGCAAAUUAAUUAAUUUUGUGAACAGAAAGAAAGAAUUUGCGGAUGUUACUUCUACUGUGCAUCACAAUUGACAACAAAAGACAUCGUGAAACAAAUGAAAGUAAUAUGGUCCGAUCCAAAACUAGGAAACACUAACAACUCUUUUUGGCAUUCACAAACUGAUAUAUUUCAUACAAUUUAUUUCUUACCGAUAUCAAAUCAAAGCACAUGAAAAUAUAAGGCCAUGUAGCAAAUAGCAAAAUAUCAGUCUUAACAAAUGAAAAUAAUUUUGUUUUAUACGUAUUGAUUUAUAGGAACCAGGAAGUAUCAAAUCAAGAUCAAAUAAUGAAAGGAAAAAACUCUUCCCAGAAUGCACCCAUGCAUGGUGGUUGAGAAAGAGAUGGGCACCAGGCCAUGAGCAAUUUAGGUUUCCAACUGGUAAGCGCCGGUAAUUUGUCUUUUCAUUAUUGAAUGCAAUAUUGGUAUAAUUUGAAACAACAUGGAAAGAAAGAAACAACAAAGAAAAUAACAUACCGACGAAGAAGAGGAGGGAGAUAGGACGGCAGCGAUGGAAAGACGGAGUUGAAGAAUGGGCUAACUAGGGCUCUUUUCUACUUAAUUGUUAAGUUUUUUUUUUCCACGAAUUUUGGUUUACAUCUCCAUAAAAUAAUCUAGUUUAGUUAGAGGCCCGUACAUNNNNNNNNNNNNNNNNNNNNNNNNNNNNNNNNNNNNNNNNNNNNNNNNNNNNNNGAAUCUAUUAAUUUUUAUUUGAUAUUUAAGUUUAUUAUUAUAUUAAAGUAAAAAGAUUAUUUAGAAUAAAAUAUUUUAAAAAUUGAUAAAAAAAAUUGUUAAACUAUAAAGUGAAAUUAUUGUGUUAUUUCUUGCAAAAAAAAAAUUAAAUCAAUAAAUUUAUUUUUUGAAAGCUAUUAUCCCAUCUAUAUUUAUGUUUUUGGGUCAAGUAACCUAGUGACCGAAAUUCCACUUUUUUUAAGUUGAAAAAAUUAACUAUUCAAGAUUCAAACCCUAACUCCACUUUUAUGUAUAAGUUUAGCUCAACUUUUUUGAUGUUAUUAGAUUGAAAACAAACUUUUCUGAUUGUAUUCUAUAUAUUCUUGUAUUAUUUUUUUGUAUGAAAACAAACUUUCUCACAAGUUAUUUGUUUCAAAAGCACAUUUGAUUUUUUUCAUUUUUUUAUGGAUUUUAGAUUAUAUUUAUUUUUUUAUGGGUUUUAUAUUUUGUUUAUUUUUUGUAGAAUGUUAAUUUAAUUGUUCAACUCUCAUUUUCUUAUAAUAACUAAUGCAGGAUUUUAAUUUAUUAUAUAUACGAUUAAAAACGUAUACUAUAAUUUUUUUUUAAAAUGCCUAGUCACCGAUUCAAUCCAAUUUAAUACAAUAAUUAUUUUUCAUAUAGACCGAGACAUACAUCUGAGUCAUCCGGUAUCGACCAAUGAUCCAAUGGUUCUACCAAUAAACUAAUGAAUCAGCACCCUCACCGGUUCGAUGAACGGUUCGAUUUUUAAGAUACUGGUUUAUAUCUACCUAAAAACCACUCAAAGUGAUGAUACUUGUAUGGUUUUUGUCAACAUUUAGUCACAUAUACAUAAAAAACAUACAUAUUAUUUAAUUAUUUUUUCUUUGAGUGCAACCAAAUUGGGACCAAAUAUUAUUAAUCGCACAUGCAAGUAUUAGUCAUGAUCCAUUGUGAUUUUUUGACAUGUGUCUGGUUUAAAUCAUGCGUGUACUUUUUUUUAUAGAAGACAUGCCUUUUCAGAAAGAAAAAUGAUGGAUAUAAACAUGUGUGUCGCAAUAAAAAAUAUAUAUAUAUAUAAACAUGUGUGUCACAUAUAAUGCAAAUAUUAUUUAUUCUAUUAAAAACCCAUAGUUGUUUUAUACUACUCCCUCCGUCCCAAUUUAAUUGACACAGUUGACUGUUGUGCACUAUUCACACAUGAUGUUUUGACCUUAUUUUUCUACUAAUAAACGAAAAUAAAUAUUAGCAUAUAAGAUGUUGUUUGAUUCGUCUCGAUGAAUAUUUUCAAAAUAUUAAAUUUUUAUAAUUUUUACUAUUAUACAAUUAAAAAUAUUAAUCGUCAAAGUUAUAGAUCGGCAUGCAUGAAACAGUCAACUGUGUCAAUCAAAUUGGGACGGAGGGAAUAGUUGUUUUAGGGUCAGUGUUACGGUGACCACAUUCAUAAGUGGUACAUUUUGAAUCACCAUUCAUUAUUAUCAUAUAUUUUAACGAAGGUCGAUAAUUUUUUCUAAAAACGAAAAUUUAUGAAUUUUAUUGUUUUAAAAUUAAAAUAUAAUUGGUGUCAGUUCAAUAUAAGUUAUAUAUAUUUGUUUUUGUUAUUUUAAUCGAACCGGUAUAAAUUAAUUCAUUAUCUAAAUUGUAAAACUAAAGAUGACCAUAACUUGUAUAAAAUUCUAAAACUCGAAACUUUUCUUUUAAUCAAAAAAAUUCAUUUUUUCAAUGCUCGAAUCCUAUAAUUUAAGCAACAUGUAGAGACGUGCAAAAAGAUAGAAGGGAAUGAAAAAAAAAAUUCUCUUUAGUGUAUACUCUAAAACUUCUCAAGUUUUCAAAACAUGUUAAAAGACUUUAGAGUAUAUUAAGAGGCCUAAAGAAAAUGAUGUUUACUUUUGUCACCCUACUAUAUUUUCGCGCGACCUACGAAAUCAUCAAAAUAUUCUCAUCCGCUACUUAAGUAGAGAACAUCCCAAAAAAACACCCUACCUUUAUAAUGUCCGUUACUGAAAUAGUGGUAGGCAUUUUUCAAAAAAUCUCAUUUUUAUAAUGUCAGUUACUUAAGUAGCGGAAGAGUAAAAGAGAAAAGGUGUAAGGCGCACAAGUAACCGAUAAGGUGGUAAAAGUAAACGUCGAAAGAAAAUUUUCAAAAAAAUCUGGUGAAUAUCAGCACACCUUUCGUUUUAACCCAACUUCAUAUUAUGUGGGCCUAAAAGCCCAACUUCAAAAUCAUGGUGAUUUUUUUAUUUUUAUAAGCUCAAAUUGAUUUGAAAUGAAGAUAUCUAGAACGUUCUUUUUAUUUUUUGUAGAGAUAUCUAGAACUUUCUAUUUACCCCCAAAUAGAAAACCUAGAACUUUCUACAACAUUUGGCGCGGAAACUGCCAAACGGUUUUCGAAUUUUCCAGCAAGUACUAGUUUCCUCCUAUACUUGGUAUAAAUUCCUCAUCAGUAUCAUCUUCCAAACCAUCAAACAAUUGAAAAUCGCAAUAUUCAAUAACAAUCAUCAAAACUUUCAAAUCUUCAUUCAAGAAAUCACUUCGGAUAACAAAAUGUCGCUGAUUCCAAGUUUCUUCGGUGGUAGAAGGAGCAACGUAUUCGAUCCAUUCUCCCUCGAUGUUUUCGAUCCAUUCAAGGAUUUUCCGUUAUCCAAUUCCCUAUCCGCUUCCUUUCCUGAAUUGUCUCGUGAAAAUUCUGCAUUCGUCAGCACACGUGUGGACUGGAAGGAGACUCCAGAAGCGCACGUGUUCAAGGCAGAUCUUCCAGGACUGAAGAAGGAGGAAGUGAAGGUAGAGAUUGAAGACGAUAGAGUUCUUCAGAUAAGCGGAGAGAGAAGCGUCGAGAAAGAAGAUAAGAACGAUCAAUGGCAUCGCGUGGAGCGUAGCAGUGGAAAGUUCUUGAGGAGAUUCAGAUUGCCAGAGAAUGCUAAAAUGGAUCAAGUUAAGGCGAAUAUGGAGAACGGUGUUCUGACUGUAACUGUUCCUAAAGAAGAAGUUAAGAAGCCUGAAGUCAAGACCAUUGAUAUCUCUGGUUAGAUACUAAAUCGGGUUCUGUGUUUUGUUGUGUACUGUGAGUAUGAAAGAAAAAGAAUGAAAUCAUGUAAUGUGUUUUUGUAAUUUCCAGAAUCGUAUGUUAUGUGAAUAAAUUCCAGUUUGCAAUAAGUAUGAUAUUCCAUUUUUAAUCAAAUUUAUCUCUCUGAUGGUAUAUGAAGUACUAGAAGAAUAUUAAGUAGGUAAUAUGAAUUUCAAAUUAUCUGAAUAAUGUUACCGAUGCAUUCAAUAAUAUAUUCGGAAUUCAGCUAGAGUAACCAACUUGAAUAACAUUUUGAUAAUAUAAUGACUUAAUGAUACAACCUUAUUAUAUUAAGGAUUAACUUGCAUCUUAUACAACUUACAGAAUAGUUGACUGCAAUCUGUUCACUUUCAAUUAACCUUUUGCCGUAAAGAAAGAGGGAACUGAAAAAAAUUGCCCAUUAUUUAUGGGAGAAGACAGUGGACCUAGAAAUGGCAUGUUUUGUGGAAGAAUUGGUAAUGGGGAUUCAAAGUUGAGCACCUUAAUCACUUUCUUUAUAGAUGGUCUUGAUGUGUUAUUUGGAUUAGCACACCAAAGUCCAACUACUAGCAAACAUUCCAUUUCCUUCGCAUUAAAUUGCCCAUAUAGCUUUGGAUCUGCUGCUGCAAUGACAUUUUUCAAUCCAUAUAGCUCCCAAACCCACUCAACUAAUGAUACUUCACCCUUUAAUUCUUGGUGGUGUAUGCCUUUUUUCCCACAGGCUAUCUCCAACAAAACAACCCCGAAACUGAAUAUGUCAGAUUCCUUUCUAGCCUUUCCUGUGUCCAUGUAUUCCGGAGCUAGGUAACCCCUGGUUCCGGCUACAAUUGUGGUUUCUNGUCCAACAUUAUGUUGCUUGAUUUUAUGUCCCUAUGAAUCACGCAUUUUUCCAAUUCCUCCUGCAAAUAAAACAAUGCUGAGGCUAACCCAAGAGCUAUAUUGUACCUCAAGUGCCAUGACAAGAUGCUUCUUCCUCCACGAAAAAGAUGAAAAUCUAAGCUGCCAUUUGGCAUGUAUUCGUAAAUUAGGAUCAGUUCAUUUUUCUUGUGGCACCAACCAUUGAGUUUCACCAAAUUUCUAUGUCUCAAUUGGCUAAUGAUCUUCACUUCUGCUGAGUAUUGCUUAAUACCCUGUCGUGAAUUUGCUGAUAUCCUCUUUAUAGCUGCAACUGAGUUUGUGUCUUUAAAAUAACCCUUGUAAACACCACCAAAACCACCUUGGCCAAGCUUCAGUUUCUCUUCAAAGUUGUUUGUUGCAUUCAAUAAUUCCUGAUAACAAAUUUUCUUAGGUCCAGCACCCAUUUGGAAUUCUUCAUCCAUAUUCUGAUCAGAAACGGUUUCUGAAUUAGGUUCUUCUUCUUUUCCUUUAUUCUUCUUCCACAAAAAAUAUAUUAACAUUGCUAAUAAACCCAAAGACAAACAUAAACAUCCAACUGCCAAUCCCUCCCACAAUUUAAUCUUGAUUAAGUUUCGUUUCUUCUCAUCUACUUUUCCUGCUGAAGCUGAUAUGCCCACAUACUCUGAUAAAUGCCCUCUUAGAUUGGUUUGUGAAAAGUUGUGUGGCUCUUGCCCUUCACUCAAUCUGUAUCUAGUGGCAGAAACAUUUAGAUUAUUCUUUUCAGAAAUGUAUUUAGAAACAAGAAUAAUCCCUAAUCCAUCUUCUUGAUUUCCAUAUAGGAAAUCUGAGCUUGCAAUGACAAACACAAAAUCAUCUUCAAAUAUACUGUAAUUUGAAAACAUUGUAGUCAAGUCAUAAACAUGAUUUAUGCUUCUGUAAUAAAAUUUGAUAAGUCUUGGAUUUUUGACUUGACCAACAUAAGAAGCCUUAUCUGGGUCACCAGCAGGGUACCCAGUGAGUCGAAAAACAUAGUCAUAAUCUUCAAUAGUGGAAUGUCCAUGAAACUCUAGCGGCAAAUCACAAUUGUGACUAAACAUUGGAUAAUCAGAAGACACAAGAUUAGCAUGUGCAAGGACUGUGAGGAAAAGCAAAAUUGUUCCCCUUGCAUAACAAAAUAUAGGAACCAUUUGUCUAUAGCUUUAACAAUGUUAGAGUUGUUUGAUUUAUGUUUGAAGCCUAACACUUUCAUGUAGUACGUAUUUAUUUACAGUUCUUUAUUUGUCAUUUAUCUAACUUCCUUUCCAGUGUAUAUUUUUAUUUUAAGUUUUAACUAUUGCAUAGUAUAUGUAAAAAAAAAAACUAUUGCAUAGUAUAUGUCUAGAUUUGCUAUCCACAACUCUUGUCGAUGAACACUAUGCAAAUGGGAUCACAAUCAUCUCAUAAGAAUUAACGCUCAGCAACUUUUGAUGUUGUAAUAUGGUGUUAAUUACUAAGUAGUAGUACUAUGUAAGUUAACUAGUUAAUGAAUUUCUCAUUUGAAAAAAUUCGGGUUCAAUUCUUAGGAGAAAUGAUUUUUUUUUAUUGAAUUUUACUUAUCUCUUACCGAAUUUUAAAUCAUGAGACUUAUUUCCUGCAUAUUAGAGAGUUAACACAAAACAAAAAAAAAAAACUACUUAAACUAACAUACUAUAUAUGUUGCAUUGUUGUGUUGGAUAAAGGAAAUAAUAUAUACUAGAAUAUAAAAUUAUAUUUAUUCAUGCAGGAUUUUAGAAAUAGAUAAAUAAGUUUGGCCUUUUAACGAAGGUUAACGAUGUAUCAUUUUAUAAUGUUUCCCUUAGACAAGAUCGUUAACAAACUUCAUAAUCAUUUGUGUUAAUGACACAUGAAGAUUUUAUUAUAGAUACCUCUUUCAUCAUUCUUGAACAAUUUAUACUUGAGUAAAUUGCAGACAAGGGUUCCUACAAUAAUCUAAUAUGCAAUCUCAUCCUCAAAUAUCACGAAAUGUAAAUCUCCACAUGAAACACCAAAUGACAUCCAAAAAUUUAGAACAUAAACCCAAAGGGUGUGGUGUGGAUGUUACCUUUUCAGUGUGACAAAUAUGAAGAGUAGGAGGUGCAGUAGAGGCACGUGCGGUAGCAGAAGCAGCUGCUGCAGAACCAGACUCAGCAGCAGAAGCUGGAACAGCAGAGGAGGCGGCAGGCGUGGCAAAUUGCGAAUGAUAGCCGGGGUUCUUCCCGCCCUUUAUAGACUCUUCCACCUGUAUAGUAACAAUCAAUCACAAACUCUUAUUGUUGUUUCAUUUGAAACGUCUAAGGUAAGAUUCUAAACAAAAAUACCACACUCAGAUCCCUUAUGGUUUUCUAAAUAUCUACCUGCUUAAGAUUAAAAUGACUCGGGUAGUUUGUUACGAUGUUAACUUCCGACGAUGGCGAGUUUUGUCGCAAGAAGUCAAUUAUUCCAUCAGGUAUGGGAGGUGGUCUCAAACCUUCUUUAAAUGCCUUUCUUAACUUUGUAGCUUCUUGACGUGACUUGGCAGCCGCUUUCUUUAACAUUUCCUUUUCCCUUAAAUGGCGUAAUCCUCCUCCAUAAACAUAUGGUAUCAAUUCUACUUUCAAAGACUUCAAGUUACACAGAGAAGAGAACUUAACCUUGAAUAAAUCUGGAACUAAGGAGAGAACCUAAGCAAUGAGGAAUGAGCGUGAAUUAGGAUUAGUUUUAUGCAAUCAAUUGAAUUUUAACAAUUGUUUUUUAAUGCAUCUUAAGAAGAAAGUAUAAAUAAAGCAUGAAAACAUGACAAGGUACCUGAAGAGCAAGUGAAGUGACUGUCAAUGAUUCUACGUUGGCAAGGUCUUGCAGCAUGCUUAAUAGAACCAAAGCACGCUCCAUUGAAACUGCAACAGUAGGUGCACAUUCUUCAGCAUUGAUAUUUACUUGUUUAACGGAAGAAAGACCACUCCCACAUAUUUUCUGAUCAGUUCUUGUGGGGAAGGUAAAUGUACAAAGACUUGGAGUAGAUAGCUCGACUUUGGCAACGUUAGAUGAAUAAUAAUACAUAGAUAAGGAUUUGAGCAUCCUUUACCUUACAACUACCAAUGACUAGACUAUUCAACUUGGUAAAGGCAGAAAAAGGCUCGACACAAGAUUUGAGAGGGGGAAAUGUGGUGCGAUAUUGAGGAAACCAAGAUUAAGCACUCUUUUUAUUGUCGAAAAAAAGAGAUUAAGCACUUUUUGAUAUUUCCUUUAAAUUUCAACGCGCGGCUACAAAAAUCUCCCGCGGUUUUAAAAAUUAAAUUUUGAUAAAUCAGGUUUUUAAGUAAGUUAAUUAAUAGUUAAAAAUUCAUCACUUAACAUGAACAAGGGAUAGAUAAUAGAUUUAUUUAGGUUCAAACAUCAACCCUACAUAUAAAUUAAAAUAUAAUAUCCUUGCUAAUAGAUUUAAACUUUUAUUUUAGUCAACAAUUUUUUUAUUCAAUUAUUUUAGUUUAUGUAUUAUGUUUUAAAUAAUAUUUUUUUUCAAAUUAUAUUGUUAAGAUCAUAAAGAUUAAAUAGUCUAUUACUUUAUUAAUAUAUUAAAAUCGAUUACCACCAAAAUUACUAAUUUAUCCUUAUAGCUUUUAACCACGUUGCAAGUAUUAUAUCCUUCAUUGUAAUUUAAUUAAAAAAAUAUAGAAAGAAUAUAAGAUAAAUACAAAAAAUAAAUAUAGAAAGAAUAUAAGAUAAAUACAAAAAAAUAAUAUAAGAAAAAGAAAAGAUGAUAUCCUUAAAAAUAGAAAGAAAAAAUAAAUAAAUUAUAGAUUAGAUCAAAACAGAACAAUCUAUGCUCAUAAAAAUAGCGAGAUUAAUACGAUGAACUCAAUAAUUUCACUAAAAAAAAUUGAAGAAUAAAAUAAAAGAUAAAUACAAUAAAAAAAUUAUAUGCUUAAAACUAAGAAUAAAGUAGAUGAUAAGAAUGUAGAAAUACCUUACCAAAAAAAAUGUAUAAAUAAAAACAUAAACAAUAUUUUUCAUAAGAAAAAAACAUAAACAAUAUACUAUUAACUAUUAAUAAUAAUAAUAAUAAUAAUAAUAAUAAUAAUAAUAAUAAUACAAUAAACUUAAUUACUAUCAAAUUUACUAAAUUAUCCAAAAUAUUCCGAAUCAAAUUUCUAUAUUUUUUUUAUUAAAAAAUAUUAACGGGACCAUUAUUUGUGAAGGAUACAUAAAAAAUUGGAUAAUUUAUUAUUGACAAUUAUAAUCAAAUUUACUUAUUUAAUAAGUUUUACAAAAAAUAGCACAAUAGUUUCACAUAUAUUUUAUAAAUAUUAUAUAACAAUUUUUAAAUAUUUUAUUCUAAAUAAAUUUUCUACCAUAAAGUCCAUAAUAUAAUGACAAACUUAAAUAUCGAAUAAAAGUCAAUGACCCGUGUUCUUCGCACGGGUCUUUUAACUAGUUAAAUUAAUAAUAUUUUAAGGUCAUAAUAAUGAUAUGUAAUUAAAAUAAGUCAUUUUGAAUAUUUAAAUGAACUUUUGUAAAAAAAAAUAGAACUAAAAUUAAAAAGGAUUAGAGUUCGAAGAAAAUUUUUAGAUACCUAAAAGUAAAUUUGAUAUAUUUAGAAAAAAAUUGUGAUGAUUAAAUUUUCAUGAUGGUUAUCUUAUACUUGAAAUUUUGUGAUGGUUAUCUGAUACAUGAACUUUUGUGACCAUUAGAUUUUGAUAAAUUGUGGAUAGAGGACUCUUAAUUUUUUUNNNNNNNNNNNNNNNNNNNNNNNNNNNNNNNNNNNNNNNNNNNNNNNNNNNNNNNNNNNNNNNNNNNNNNNNNNNNNNNNNNNNNNNNNNNNNNNNNNNNNNNNNNNNNNNNNNNNNNNNNNNNNNNNNNNNNNNNNNNNNNNNNNNNNNNNNNNNNNNNNNNNNNNNNNNNNNNNNNNNNNNNNNNNNNNNNNNNNNNNNNNNNNNNNNNNNNNNNNNNNNNNNNNNNNNNNNNNNNNNNNNNNNNNNNNNNNNNNNNNNNNNNNNNNNNNNNNNNNNNNNNNNNNNNNNNNNNNNNNNNNNNNNNNNNNNNNNNNNNNNNNNNNNNNNNNNNNNNNNNNNNNNNNNNNNNNNNNNNNNNNNNNNNNNNNNNNNNNNNNNNNNNNNNNNNNNNNNNNNNNNNNNNNNNNNNNNNNNNNNNNNNNNNNNNNNNNNNNNNNNNNNNNNNNNNNNNNNNNNNNNNNNNNNNNNNNNNNNNNNNNNNNNNNNNNNNNNNNNNNNNNNNNNNNNNNNNNNNNNNNNNNNNNNNNNNNNNNNNNNNNNNNNNNNNNNNNNNNNNNNNNNNNNNNNNNNNNNNNNNNNNNNNNNNNNNNNNNNNNNNNNNNNNNNNNNNNNNNNNNNNNNNNNNNNNNNNNNNNNNNNNNNNNNNNNNNNNNNNNNNNNNNNNNAUUAAUGGGACCAUUCCGUAUAAUGGAUUUCGAAGACGAACUUAGCUUUAACCCAAUUCUUCUACAAUUGUUUUUGGGAAUUUUUUUUUUCUACCCCUACAUUUAUCUCUUUACCUCAACAUAUUUUAAAAUAUUUCCAUUAUACCCUUUAUAACACCCCGCAUCGAUUUAUCUAGAAUAUCGACAAGAGUGUACAUAACUGAAUCGGGAAACAUUAAAUUUUCAUUACAUAUUGUCCGAAUACAUAAAUAGGAUUACAAAAUCCAAGAGAUUAAUACUAAAUUGAGCUAACAACUGAAAACAUAAAGAAACUAAAUCUUAUACAAAUAUAAGAUAACAUGACGUCAGCUCAACUAGCAUAAUCCAAGUAUCUGAACUUCAUGCUUGCAGACCAUGAUAUCUUGGUCAACCUGUUUAUCUGAAAUCAAAUAAGUGGGGAAUAAGAAUAGUCACUUCGUCUUAGUGAAUUCCUACUACCCAGUUACUAUUGGUUUCUACACCGGGGCAACUAAUGAACUAAAAGUUCCUUGAUCCUGAUUGUCAGUCUCUAACAUAAUUUUAUAACAUGAUUUCAUAAACAUAAUAAUAUAAAGGUAUAACACAGAUUAAUUAUUUUGUUCCUUUUAACAUAACUAAGACACUCUGAGGUGAGCCGGUCUCAGAGGAGGCCUAACAUAUCCGUUGUCGAUGAUUAUACGCAUCGACACGGUAUGAAGCUCACAAUCGUAACAUGAUUGGAUUCCUCGAAUCCCAUAACGUGGUACAUAAGUAACCAUCAUGAUUGACUGACUUUCUUAACUUACCUUAAUUAUCCUGAUUGUUAUCCUGCCCAUGAAUUCCCUCCCAGGGUAUUUCUAAACUGUCCUGAUACUUAAUUUCCUGAGUGUGCUUAACAUUCUAAACACAUAGACAUUGUUACACUGUUCAUAAAAUGUAUUAGAAAUGAAAUGAAUAUAAAACGAGUGAAUUUGCAGUUCAAAUAAAAUUAUGCAAUGUUCUAUUCUGACACGCUCGCCUAGCGAAGCCUUGACUCACUAAGCGAGUAUAUCAGUACAUAACCCUGUUUGCUUUUUUUGUAAAAUCAAGCCAAUAUUCACCUACAAUCCAUAACUUCCUAAUUUCAGACACUGUAAUUAGUCCAUAUAUUUAGAAUGGAGAAUUGUUUGGGGAUUUAACCAUUCUCACACAAUAAAUUCCUUAAAUCCUAAUAUUGUCAUGCAAUUGAUAAAUUGGGGAACUAAUAUUCUAACUAAACUAAUGUUAUCAUGCAUUUAUUUUAUUUGGGAAAACUAAUUGAGCUAAACUAACUAGAGUUUAAGGCUCUAAGGGAACCCACCUGAAAUCGACGCUUGAACAGUACCACCGACAUUUCCGAAACUCGUCGAAAAGCGGAAUUUGCAACGAAACUACUCCAAACUCGUGUGCAGAUUUUUUUGCAUAAUACCAGCAUCAGAGUUCCAACUUCAACAAUACCUACCGGCCACAAUUCUCGUCCAUAAAUUAUGAAACCGCGAUCAUAACGACCGUAUUUGAGUUAGCUUUCCAUAGCAAUCAGAAUAAACUCAAACGAAGCUACAGAGAGAAAUAAUUUACCGUUUGAGUGCAGCCCAAUCCCAAACACUUUAUGCAUAAAUUCUGUGUUGAACCUUUCACUUUAAAAAUUCGUAGAGACCUCAUUUCUCCAUUACAUAUCACUAGGCAUUUUAGUGAGUGUACAUCCAGCAUACGAAUUUCCAUAAAUAUUUUCAAUCUUCUUGUUUCCUUGUUCCAACAACUGUCCUUACUGAUUCAUACAUCCUCAGUCAUCAUUCAAGCAUCCAAUGCUUCUUAAUCAAUUCUAUUUUCCUUUAUAAUGGUUCUGAAUUCCACUUUUAAUUCCAUGCUCAGCUCCAAUCAUUUAACCAAGCCUCAUUCACCACAAAACCACAUGUAAAUACCAAGAAUGGAAUUAAUGACAUUUUCUAACAUCGAAGAAUAUGCUGAUUCUGAAUGAAAGGAAAAGUGCUCUGAGUUUUCUUACCAAUAUUCAAGAAUGGUUUGACAAAGAUGGGUUCAUCAACAUGCAGAAGAACUGUUGCCCUGAGAGACCUUCCUGCUCGCUAGGUGAGCUGUUGCAGUAAGCAAAACGCAGCUUUUGUUGCCAUCCUCCACUUCCAGCAGCUGUAGAAUUAUGAAUUCAGUUUUGAAACUCCAAGCUUCAAGCUUUUCCCCAACUUCUCUAUCUCCAUGAACUUCUUAUUUUUGCCACUAAGUUCCCAACUUCCAAUUUGACCCCUUUUACUCAAACCUCUGAAUCUUUGAGGUUUUAAUCAAUACUUUGUUCCUUGCUCUAAUUGACCCAAGAAACUAAUGAGUGGAUUGCAUACAAGAAUCUUCCAUGUUUGGUUGUUGAAUAAACGGAAAGGUGGAGAUGAGGGUGAGAGGCGUGAAAGAGGGUGAGGGAGUCUUUGUUUCCUGAUUGCUCUUUCAGCAAAAUGAAAAUGAAAUUGAAGAGAUAUGACUUUGGUCAUGUGGUUCAUAAUCAAAGUGUGGGUCCCGCUUUUAUUCUUUCUUAGCAUUUAUUUAAUGAGAAAUACUUCCAUGGUCCCUUAUUAUUUCGUCUCAAUUUAGUCACACACACAUAAUUUAAAAAAAGUACAAAGAAAAAAUAAUUUAAUAAUAUAUAUUUUAAAAUAAUUAAAUUAUAUGUGUUAUUAUGUGUGUGACCAAAUUGUGAUCAAAUAAUAUGGGACCAUGCAAGUAUUUCUCUUAUUUAAUAACAUGUAGAACAUUUUAUUUGUGUGAUAGCUUCUACUCACUUAUUCCAAUUAGUCUCUAAUAAUUAUUUCUAAUUAAUAUUCUACUAUUAAUUAAUCCUUAUAUUAAAGUGUGCUGAUAUGUUAAAAGUGUACUGGUAUUUUAAUUAAAGUGUGCUGAUAUGUUAAAAGUGUGUUGUUAUGUUAAAAUUACAUUUAUCAAGUGUGAUGGUAUUAUCCAAAUACAGAUUCAUCACCAUUAGAGCAUCAUCAUCAUCAACAUCAAAUCUGUAAACAAAAUCUCAAUCUUGACAAAAAAGUAUGCAUUCUUCCAUUACCAGAUUAUAAUUUUUUCUUGUUAGCAAACCAAAAUAAUUACACUUAAUCAAACAUCAGUAUAAAAAAAAUAAUGGGAUUAAAUCCUUUUUUUGGAUUAAAUUGGAAAAAAUUGGGAUUAAAAAAAAACCCAUCACCAAAAACAACAGUAACAACACCACCUCCGACCCUCUCACCAUCGUCAUAUUCUUCACCAAGCACAGCCUCACCACCACCACCNNNNNNNCACCAUCAUCACCACUACCACCACCACCACCACAUCUCCACCGUCUCAAUCUAAACAUGCCGCUGGAGAAUGAGAUGAAUGAGGGAGUGUUUUGCUCGCCGGCGAGAAAGAAGGUGUUUGGCUGCACUGUCGCGAUGGCGCGAAGUUCAAAAGUUCUAAUGGGUUUGAUGCUGCGUUCAGAGGAGAAGUAGAGUUCGUUGAGGAACUCAAGGGGGCGAAGUCUACUGUGCUUCUCUCUUGAAGAUGCGAUGCAGAAAUUGCAAGGAAGGUGAAUGAGUAGAGACUGAAGAAGCAAGAUGAAAUGUAAGAGACAAGAGAGAAAAUAGAUAUGUUUAAAGAAUAGUGAUGAAUCUGGUGGUUUUGGUUUCAAGGGUGUUUUAAGAUUUGGGUUUUUUAUUUUUAGAUUUGAGAUUUUGUUUAAGGAUUUGAUGAUGAUGAUGAUGAUGCUAUAAUGGUGAUGAAUCUGUAUUUGGAUAAUACCAGCACACUUGAUAAAUGUAAUUUUAACAUACCAGCACAUUUUUAACGUACCAGCACACUUUAAUUAACAUAUCAGCACACUUUUGAUACAGUUUUAACAUACCAACACACUUUUAACAUACCAGCACACUUUUAACAUAAGGGUAUAAUUGGAAUAUUUUAAAAUAUGCUGGGGUAAAAAAAAUUUAGUAUUUAUUUAUUCUAUCUUCUAUCUAAUUUAAAAUCUAAUCGCCACAAAAAUAAUAAUAAUAAAACUACUACGUAUUAUCUUUUUUUGAAUCAAAAACUACUAUUAUCUGGUUUUUUUUUUUACUAUAACUACUAUUAUCUGAUAAGAAGGAUUCUUGUGAUCAUUUAUAGAUACAAAGUCACUAAUAUUAAUUGUGUUUUACAUCGAUGUAUUUUAUCAUAAUUUCUCAAUACAUUAAGACAGUAAGUUCAAUAAGCUAGCUUAUAAUUUAUUGGACUAGUUUAUAAGCUUGUUUGAUAAAAAUGUGAAGUGUUUGGUAACGAGCUUCUCUAACUAGCUUAUAACGUUUUUUGAUAUGCUACUUCAAGUAGCGUAUGAGCUUAUAGCAUAUAGCUUUUUACAUUUUAUUCCAUAUUUACCCUUUUUUAUUUUUUAUUUGUUUUUAAAAAAUUAUAAUAACUACCCACUAACACUUACCAAAAAAAAAACUACCCACUAACCAUGUACUUUUAUGUCAUUUUGUAUUUACAACAACUAAAUUUGUCAAACACUUUAAUUUUAUUCUAUUAGCUUUUUAACUAUAAGCUACUAGCUAUCAGCUAUAAGCUAACUUUUCAGCUAUAAGCUAGCUUAUCAGGUAUCGGCUAGCUUAUCAGCUAUCAGCUAGCUUAUAGCUUAUUUUUACCAAACAGAGUCUAAAAUGGUUAGACCAUUAAACCAUUAGUUAUUAGAUUAGAUUGAAACAAAUAUAUUUCAAUUUGAAAUAUAAUAAAAUUGAAAAAAAGAAAAUUGGAGUUCGUAUCAAAGGAUGGAGUAUGUUGCAGCACAUUAAAAUAUUAUUGCAAGUAGGAAGUUCUUGUUUGUUAUACCUAUUUUGAAACAAAUCAAAGUGAUGAUGCUCUUGCAUACAUAGAGUGUGAUCCAAUGUGAUAUUUUGACUUGUGUCCGAUAACGUCUGUUACUUAAGUAGCGAAAGAGUAAAACGAAAAACAUUUAGGACGUGCGAGUAAUUGGACGGCAAAAAUUAAUUCCCAAAUCAGUACACCUUUUUCGAUUUAAGUUUUAACCCAACUCCAUAUUAUGUGGACGUAAAAGCCCAACUUCAAAUCAUGGUGAUUUCUUCUUUCUUUUUUUUUCUCUCAAAAGAUAUCUAGAACGUUCUAUUUACCCCCAAAUAGAAAACCUAGAACUUUCUACACAUUUGGCGCGGAAACUACCAAACGGUUUUCGAAUUUUCCAGCAAGCACUAGUUUCCUCCUAUACUUGGUAUAAAUUCCUCAUCAGUAUAAUCUUCCAAAGCAUCAAACAAUUGAAAAUCGCAAUAUUCAAUAACAAUCAUCAAAUCUUUCAAAUCUUCAUUCAAGAAAUCACUUCGGAUAACAAAAUGUCGCUGAUUCCAAAUUUCUUCGGUGGUAGAAGGAGCAACGUCUUCGAUCCAUUCUCCCUUUCCGCUUCUUUUCCUGAACUGUCUCGUGAAAAUUCUGCAUUCGUCAGCACACGUGUGGAUUGGAAGGAGACUCCUGAAGCGCAUGUGUUCAAGGCCGAUCUUCCAGGGCUGAAGAAGGAGGAAGUGAAGGUAGAGAUUGAAGACGAUAGAGUUCUUCAGAUAAGUGGAGAAAGAAGCGUUGAGAAAGAAGAUAAGAACGAUCAAUGGCAUCGCGUGGAGCGUAGCAGUGGAAAGUUCUUGAGGAGAUUCAGAUUGCCAGAGAAUGCUAAAAUGGAUCAAGUUAAGGCGAAUAUGGAGAACGGUGUUCUGACUGUAACUGUUCCUAAAGAAGAAGUUAAGAAGCCUGAAGUCAAGACAAUUGACAUCUCUGGUUAGAUACUAAAUUGAGUUCGGUGUUCUUUGAUUUAUUCUAAUGGAUAUGUGUUUUGUUGUGUACUGUGAGUCUGUGAGUAUGAAAGAAAAAGAAUGAAAUCAUGUAAUGUGUUUUUGUAAUUUCCAGAAUCUUAUGUUAUGUGAAUAAAUUCCAGUUUGCAAUAAGUAUGAUAUUCCAUUUUUAAGUCAAAUUUAUCUCUCUGAUGGUAUAUGAAGUACUAGAAGAAUAUUAAGUUGGUAAUAUGAAUUUCAAAUUAUCUGAAUAAUGUUACCGAUGCAUUCAAUAAUAUAUUCAGAAUUCAGAUAGAGUAACCAAGUUGAUUAACAUUUUGAUAAUAUAAUGACUUAAUGAUACAACCUUAUAAUAUUAAGGAUUAACUUGCAUCUUAUACAACUUACAGAAUAGUAGUAGUUGAUAUGUGCAAAUGAAAAAUGCUACAAUUUUUCAGCAUCUCUGUUCACUUUCAAUUAACCUGUUGCCCUAAAGAAAGAAGGAACUGAGAAAAAUUGCUCAUUAAUUAUGGGAGAAGACAGUGGACCUAGAAAUGGCAUGUUUUGUGGAAGAAUUGGUAAUGGGGAUUCAAAGUUGAGCACCUUAAUCACUUUCUUUAUAGAUGGUCUUGACGUGUUAUUUGGAUUAGCACACCAAAGUCCAACUACUAGCAAACAUUCCAAUUCCUUCGCAUCAAAUUGCCCAUAUAGCUUUGGAUCUGCUGCUGCAAUGACAUUUUUAAAUCCAUAUAGCUCCCAAACCCACUCAACUAAUGAUACUUCACCCUUCAANNNNNNNNNNNNNNNNNNNNNNNNNNNNNNNNNNNNNNNNNNNNNNNNNNNNNNNNNNNNNNNNNNNNNNNNNNNNNNNNNNNNNNNNNNNNNNNNNNNNNNNNNNNNNNNNNNNNNNNNNNNNNNNNNNNNNNNNNNNNNNNNNNNNNNNNNNNNNNNNNNNNNNNNNNNNNNNNNNNNNNNNNNNNNNNNNNNNNNNNNNNNNNNNNNNNNNNNNNNNNNNNNNNNNNNNNNNNNNNNNNNNNNNNNNNNNNNNNNNNNNNNNNNNNNNNNNNNNNNNNNNNNNNNNNNNNNNNNNNNNNNNNNNNNNNNNNNNNNNNNNNNNNNNNNNNNNNNNNNNNNNNNNNNNNNNNNNNNNNNNNNNNNNNNNNNNNNNNNNNNNNNNNNNNNNNNNNNNNNCUGAAUUAGGUUCUUCUUUUCCUUUAUUCUUCUUCCACAAAAAAUAUACUAUUAACAUUGCUAAUAAACCCAAAGACAAACAUAAACAUCCAACUGCCAAUCCCUCCCACAAUUUAAUCUUGAUUAAGUUUCUUUUAUUCUCAUCUUCUUUUCCUGCUGAAGUAUAUAUGCCCACAUACUCUGGUAAAUGAUGCUCUCUUUGAUUGGUUUGUGAAAAGUUACGUGGCUCUUGCCCUUCACUCAAUCUGUAUCCAGUGGCAGAAACAUUCAGAUUAUUAUUUUUGGAACCGUAUUUAGAAAGAAGAAUAAUCCCUAAUCUAUCUUCUUGAUUUUCAAAUAGGAAAUUUGAGCUUGCAAUGAAGAACACAUAAUCAGCUCCAAAAAUACUGUAAUUUGAAUACAUUGUAGUCAAGUCAUUAACUUGAUUUAUGCUUCUGUAAUAAAGUUUGACAACUUUGGGAUUUCUGACUCGACCAACAUAAGAAGCCCUAUCUGGAUCACCAGGGUGAGAGUACCCGGUGAGUCAAAAAACAUAGUCAUAAUCUUCAAUAGUGGCAUGUCCAUAAGACUCUAGCGGCCAAUCACAAUUGUGACUAGACAUAGGGUAAUCAGAAGACACAAGGUGAGUAUGUGCAAGGACUGUGAGGAAAAGCAAAAUUGUUCCCCUUGCGUAACAGAAUAUACGAACCAUUUGUCUAUAGCUUUAGCAAUGUUAGAGUUGUUUAGUUUAUGUUUGAAGCUUAACACUUUCAUGUAGUACGUAUUUAUUUAAUGUUCGUUAUUUGUCAUUUAUAUAACUUCCUUUUCAUGUAGUAUGUAUUUUAAUCAUUACAUAGUAUAUGUCUUAGAUUUACUAGAUCCACAACUCUUGUCGAUAAACACUAUGCAAGAGGGAUAUGCUCCUUAGAAUUAACGGACAGCAACUUUUGAAGUUGUAAUAUUGUACUAAUAACUAGCUUAAAUACCUAAGUAGUUGAGCUUAAAUUUUUAAUAAAUUUAUUUUAAAGACGAAUCACUCAGAAGAAAUCGGAUUCGAUUUUUAGGCGUAAUAAUUUUUGAUCAAAUUGACACAAAAAAAAAGGAUCAAAUUUCACUUACCUUCUGCCGAAUUUUUUAUUAACAAGCUCUUUCUUGGCAAAUUAGAAAGUUGACACAAAGGUUGCAUAAAAAAAGAGUUGACACAAAGGGAGGAAAAACUACUACGUAGAACAGACAUGUUGGGUGGAUAACCAAAAUAUUGAGGAAAAAAUAAAAUAUACUCCUACUUUUCAUAUGGGUUUCAGGUUCUUCUUUUCAUAGUUGUUGAGAAUUGAGACUGGUUUGGGGAAAUCCAAACUUUAUGGGUUUGAGUUGGAAAAAUGUAAAACCCGUCCCCGCCUCAUCUCAUUGUCAUGCCUCCUAUAAUAGAAUAGAGACAUGAUAAAAUAUAUAAUAUAAUAAUAAUAAUAUAAUAUAAUAUAAACAUGAUAACAGUAUCCUAUUUCAUAACAACAGAAAGAAUGUCCUAAUUUUAAAUAAGUGGGAUCCUUGAAACUCAAUCUAUAUAUAAUAGCUUAUUAUGUCGAUAAUGAAUAAUAUAAUUAAAUCAAAUGUUAUAUAUAGAGUCUAAUCAAUAUAGAAACAACACAUACAAACAGGCAUACAAUUGUUAACCAAAUAGCUUAAAGGAAAAUAUAACCAUAAAUACCAUAAACAAAUAUAACCAUAAAUACCAUAAACAAAAUAUCAUGUGUCUCAUCACUAUAACCACAUAUACAAAGUAAAAGUUUUAUAAUUAAAGUCUAAGUAACCAUCCGCGCCUCCUAUCAUUUGACAUGGCGAUAAACAUUUCCCUCCAAUCAGGAUCCUUAAACUUUUCCAAGGCUUUCCCAAAGAUGUCAUCUGAAAUAUCUCUUAUAUCUUCAAGAGCAACCACACACUUAGUAAGAGAACAAUCUUCAGUUACAUGUGAAGAACCAGCCUCCACAAUCUUAGCCCGUGCUACAAGUGCAUCUCCCAUCUGAUGUGAUGUAGACUCUUUCAUGGAUGUAAGAUCUUUUACUUGAAUUUUUUGCUUCCCACUAUGAAUGAUCUGCUCCACUUGUAUAUUAUUGUCUGAACUAUCAUUAUCAACACGUGCAUUAUUCGCACUUUCAGUGUUCAAGUAUUGAUUAUUGAGCUCAUUUACUAUACUAUUAGGUUGGUCUUGGAUAGAUGAAUGAUGAAGUACGUCAGUUUCAUUAUUUUUGUUGAAUAUGAUUUCCAACAACUUAUAAUGGUCGCACCCUUUCUUUUGAAACUGAGAUGCUUUAUCAUGUGUCUAAGCAUAUGGUCAAUACAUUAACAACAUUAAAAUAUAAAAUCAAUGUAAAUCUACUAACAAAAACUAUAAAUAUUAAACCAUACCUUAAGAUAAUUUUGCCAGACCUCUUCACUAGCAGUAACAGUGUUGGUUUCUGCAUUCCACUGAAAUCCAGUGUUUUGCAAAAGUGAAUAGAACUCAUGAAACAUGGCUCGUAGCCCAUGCAUUUUUUCCUGGAGUUGUUCCUUCUUAUAGGAGCGCUUAGUUAUGGAAUUCAACCUAGUAGUCAUUGAGGUCCAUGUUCCUGUAAGAAACACACCAUUUGGCAUAUUUCCUUUUGUAACUUCAUCAACCAUAAUGUCAAUGAAAGCUUUAGUUACCAAGUCAGGCCAAAGCAUUGAAUCACUGUUGUCAACAUUAGUUGCCAUCUAUUAUGAGGAAAAAACAAGCAUUACAAUUAGAGCAGUAAAAAAAUGUAAUUAGAGCAGUAAUAUUAGGGGGUGCAAUGAGACGAAUUUUUUUUUGUAAAAUAAAAUGAUUUAUUAACAUUUUAUUUAAAUAAUAUUUAUUUGAUGGUUGAAUGAAUGGUAUAAUAUUUUUGUUUUGUAUUAUAAAAAAAUAAUUAGUUUUGUGGGUGCAUACACUCACCUUGUUCCUCAACACUAAUUUUCAUCUAUCUUAAAAACAAUAAUGAUAAUUAGAGCAGUGCAACAAAUUUAUUGAGACACAACCUGGAGGCAGCCAUGACAAUAAAGCAAAUCAUAUCCUAUAUCAAUUUAGACAGUUCACUUCAUAAACAGUGCUAUUAACAAAGAAGAUGAAUAGCAAUGUAUAUGUUUAUUAUAAAACUAACAGAUAACAAAAGAUUGCUAUCAAUAUCAGCACAAUGUACCAGUACAAACAUAUAGACAUAUAGUCACACCGUUACUCAGCAAUAUGUGAUAUUUAACAACAAAUAAAUGUUCCUAGAUUGUUACUUAAGCAACUACCAUUUCAAUGUCAUGCGUCUUAACUUCAAGCUAAGAAAAUAAAAUAGAAAGCAAGUGGUAAAAAGGAGCAGGGUGCAAUUUUUUUAUUUUAUUUUUAUAAGCGGAGCAGGGUGCAAUUGAAGGACGCAUGUCAUUAUAUAUGUCUCUGUUAUCAUUCUUGAACAAUUUCUACUUGAGUAAAUUGCAGACAAGGGUUCCUACAAUAAUCUAAUAUGCUAUCUCAUUCUAAAAUAUCACAGAAAUGGAAAUCUCCACGUGCAAACAACAAAUGGCACCCAGAAAUUUGGUAACAAAAACUCAAAGGGGAUCCAUUAAAAUGCAUGUGAGGAAUAAAUAUUACCUUUGCAGCAGAGGCAGGUGCGACGGCAGAAGCAGACUCAGCAGCAGAGGCAGGGGCGGCAGAGGAGGCAGGCGCGGCAAAUUUAGAACAAUAGUUGAUGUUCUUCACGCCCUUUACAGAUUCUUCAACCUGUUUAGUAAUAACCAAUCACAAACUCUUCUUAUAGUUGUUUCAUUUGAAAUUAUCAAAGCUCAGAAUCUCAAGAAAAAAAAAUACCACACUCAACUCGCUUAUGGUUUUUAAAUAACUACCUGCUUAAGAUUAAACGAACUCGGGCAACGUGUUGUGAUGUUAACUUUUGAUGCUGGUGAGUUUUGUAGCAAGAAGCCAACUAUUCCAUCAGGUAUGGGAGGUGGUUUCAAACCUGCUUUAAAUGCCUUUCUUAACUUAGCAGCUUCUUUGCGUGACUUGGCAGCCGCUUUCUUUAACAUGACCUCUUCCAUAUAAAAUGAUAAAAAUCCAGAAUAAAGUGGUAUCAGUUCUACUUCCAGUGACUUCAAGUUACACAAAGAAGGGAGCUUAACCUCAAACAGAUCAGGAACUAAAGAGAGAACCUAAGCAACGAUGAAUAAGGGUGAAUUUGGAUAAGUAUUAUGCAAGUCAAUUGAAUUUUAACAAAAUUUAAAAAUAACAAGAUAAAACAUGCAUCUUAAGAAGAAAGUAAAAAAUAAAGCUUGAAAACACAAGGUACCUGAAGAGUAGUUGAAGUGACUAUCAAUGAUUCUACACUGACAAGGUCUUGAAGCCAGGUUAAUAGAACCAAAGCAUACUCCACCGAAGUUGCAUAAUCUGGUGCAUCAAUAUUUACUUGUCUAACAGAAGAAAGUCCGUUCCCACAUAUUUUCUGAACAGGUAUACCAGUAAAAGUAAAGGUAAAAAGGCUUGGAGUAGAUAGCUUGAUUUGGGAAAAUUUGGAUGAAAAUCUAUGCAUAGUUAAAUCGACAAGUGUCUCACUUGAUAUGCUGAGGAUUUGAGCAUCCUUUACCUUACAACCACGAAUGACCAAACUAUUCAACUUGGUAAAGGCGGAAAAGGGCUCGGCACAGUCGUUUUCACUGCCGCAAAAGGUGAAAUAUGCUAGGUCUAAGCUGGUCAAUAAAGGCAAAUUCAAAGAUUUUGGAAAUAACGUUUUUGUAUAAGAUUUUGGANNNNNNNNNNNNNNNNNNNNNNNNNNNNNNNNNNNNNNNNNNNNNNNNNNNNNNNNNNNNNNNNNNNNNNNNNNNNNNNNNUCAGAAUGGGACAAACAUCAGCAGUGACAUCGAUUUCUAAUCGCUGGAUGUGGGUAUUAUGGGAACAAACAUAGUUUAAAAUCAUUGUGAGGAGCUUAGUCUCAAUAAUGCCCCUGCGCUGAAAUUCCAGAGCAUGCAGUGCCGUUGAGCUAUCACGAAGAGUCAAAAUCCGAGUCACGAAUGUGGCAAAAAGCUUCACAGUGGAAAAUGUUGAGGAAUGCAAUAUAAGGGUUGGAAUACGUUUCCAAAGAUGCCUCCAUCUCGUUGACAAAAUGCAAGUUUGAACGGCAUGUUUGGAAUUCAAAAAUGACAAAAUGUGAAGGAGAACACAAUCGGGUAAGUCACUCAGACUAUCUUCAUUAUCAUCACGCCUUGCUCUCUUCUUGGGCGGAAUCAUUAUUACCUCGUCCACUGAUUUAGACAUUUCAGUAAAGUCUGUAAGUACCUAAAAAAAAAAAGUAGUAUGUAAUUAUAUAUUUUACAUUAUAACAGAAUAAUAAGCAACUGUGAAAUUCUACACCGCACUUUCGAGUUUCAAGCCCAAACGAAUUGGUUUCUAUUGGAAUGGGAAAAAUUGAUUUACGAUUUGGGAAAAUAAUUGAGUAAGUUUGAGGCAGGAUAACGAUUUAGGGGGAAGAGAGAAAGAAAUACCUUGGCAAUUGAGCUGUAAGUUCUGAUUGCACGGGUGGUGGAUUGGAACACUGCCCUUAUAACUCACUGUAUAACUCACUGUAUAUCCAUGCUUUCUAGGGUUCAAUUUUUCUACCUUUGUGCGAGGGAAAACGUGGAGGAAACAAAUAGUUCAAUUUUUUGGGAAUAUAUAUAAACCCCAAAAUUGGCCUCCACUCCACCCCUCCUCCCUCUCCUAAUUUGGUUUUUAUCCAUUUAUUUACUACUCUUCUAUUGGUUGUCAUUCGAGAGAUAUCUAUACAACUUAAAAUAUUUUUGGUUUCAGAUUGGUCGCUUAAAGAUAUAUCCGUUAAUUAGUUUGGUCAUAUUCAGACCUUUUUUUUAUUUAAGAGACCAAUAUGAAACCAAAAGAAUUAUUUUACUAAUUAAGUCUAUCUAUCUAUAUCUAUAUUUAUAAAAAUUUAAAAAUAAAAAUUAAAAAAAAUUGGUAUGUACCAAAAAAAAAUUAAUAAAAAAAAUUUUUGGUGUGAACUUUUCAUAAUACCAACGAUAUUUUUGACUUUUUUUUAGCACAAAAAAUCUUUUAUUAACAAACUCACCAUAAUAUAAGUCAUUUUUUUUGUAGAAUUUUCAUAAUACCAACAAUAUUCUUGACUUUUUUUUAGCAUUAAAAAUUUUUUAUUAACAAACUCACCAUAAUAUAAGACAUUUUUUUUAACCGCAAAAAUCUUUAUUAACAAACUCACCAUAAACGAAGAUUAAUGGGACCGACUAAAAGUGUGUCUUGUUAAUUACUCAAUCCGUUAAAGUUUAUUUUUGCAUUAUACCCUAUUUUUUUAAUAUAUUAUACUCUAAUUUUAAUCCACUAAUAAAUUUAUAUUAUUUUCACACACUUUCUCUUUCAAAAAAAUAAAAAAAUUAUAUGAAGAAUUUUAGUAAAAAAAAAUAGAUACAAUAAAAGAUUAUAUAAAAUUUAGUCAAUAUAAAAUUAAAAAGAGAAUAUAAUAGAUAAAAUAUAACCUUAAAUAUAUGUUUUGUUUAGUUUUCAAAAUCAUGAACGAAUGCACACAAUUUCUAUAUAAAGAACUAAAAUGGCAUGGUUUUGUCUAUAUAUAACGUGACAAAAAACUAAUGUAACACGAAUAGUCAUUCCUUCAUGUUUGUCUUGCCGAUGAUUUGGUCAUUGGUAUAUUCAAUAAUUGAUUAAAGUUGAUAUGUUAAUCUAAAUCAAACAAACACUGCAACAAAAUUGAAAACAAACAAGCACCACUUCAAGACAUGAAAUCAAACAAUGCUGCAUUCAGAUGAUUAAAAAAUAAUUUAUAUAAAAAUUACUUAUUUAAAUUAAAGGAGAAAAAAAUACACGAGUGCUUCAGAGUAAAGAAAAAAAAAUCAUUUUCGACAUAUUUCUCAUACUUUGAUUAUUUAAUAUUUCACACUACAAUUACAAUUGCAUUCAAUUUUUAAAAUUUUUUUUUUUAGAUUUCUUAGCAAGACACUUCAAUUUAUUUAUAUUUGAAAUAUCAUCUAAUAUAACUUUUUUAAUACAAAAUAUAUAUUUUUUUGAGUAAAAAAAUAGAACUAUAUAAGUUUGUUUAUAUUUCAAAGAAGAGUAGAAUGAAUAGAAAAUAAAAUAAAAAGAGAGUAAAAAUAAUCUCUGAAAUGGUCUAAAUCACCAUAACCUCUCUAUUCAUCCGCAUCCACCAUCAUUCUCAUCUUCCUCUGUUCUCCCAACCCAACACUCACCGUCACAGUUGUUGCUUCUUCCGUCUACACUCCCCACAGAACCAAUGCUAUGCACCACCAACGCACUCGCAUUAUCAUUCUUCUUUCAUUCUUUUCCCUUUUCACGUUGAGAUAAUAAUAAUAAGAUCCGUUCUCGCCUCAGAUGCAGACUCUCCUUCCUUUGUCUUGCAUCAGAGGUUUCCUCUCAUGAAUCUCGCUCUCUCUCUCAUCAAUUUUCUCACCGAUUUCGGAUGCGGCUUCGUUCUCCUCGCCUGUCUCUCUCGCAUUCUCAACAUUCUCGGCAUGCUUUUGAUGUUAACUUUCUGUUACAGGAUUCUUCACUUUGGUUGGCGUUUAAAGGGUACCCUACGUUUCAUUUGUGAUUUUGGUGGCGCGCCCAGAAUUCGUUUCUCUUUGGAAAACAUUUUCUUACAAGUUUCUAAAAUAAAGAUUCCAUCUUUGGAAAAUGGGUCUGUCCCAAAUGCGAAUUCUUUGAACAAAAAGAAUGUCAAUGUUUCCAGAGAGAAAGGGAAAGAUAGUUUGGAAGAUGUGUCGGAAGGAAAAGAUGAUAGUGAAUUGGAGGGUCGAGAUNNNNNNNNNNNNNNNNNNNNNNNNNNNNNNNNNNNNNNNNNNNNUGAGAAAGUUGAUAAAGAUUCAGCGUAAGAAAGCCAAUGUAGCUGUUGCGGAGCUUGAACAGGAACAAACCGCGGCUUCUUCGUCUGCGGAGGAGGCAAUGGCGAUGAUUCAUCGGCUUCAGAAUGAGAAGAGUGCGGCUGAAAUUCAAGCCAAUCAAUUCCGUAGAAUGGCUGAGCAGAAGUUAGAGUAUGAUGAUGAGGUGAUUGAGUCUUUGCAAUGGGCGGUCACACGGCAUGAAUCUCAUAGUAGUGUGUUGGAAGAGCAGUUGAGGGUUUAUAGGGAAGAACUCAUGCAAUAUAUUGGGGAGGAUGAGAUAAANNNNNNNNNNNGAUAGGAUUGUUAAGAAUCGUGAAGCGCGUGAGAAUAAAGCAAUUGAGAUUGAAGCAGUCGAGGAUGAAGUAGUUAGCUCUUCUGAAGAUGAGAAUGAAGCGGUUGAGAAUGAAGCAGUUGAUCAGAAUGAAACGGUCCAGGAUGAAAUAGUUAACUCUUCUGAAGAUGAGAAUGAAGCGGUUGAGAAUGAAGCAGUCGAGGAUGAAGUAGUUAAGUCUUUUGAAGAUAAGAAUGAAGCGGUUGAGAAUGAAGCAGUUGAUGAGAAUGAAGUGAUCGAGAAUAAAGCAGAUAACUCUUCUGAAGAUAAGAAUGAAGCAGUCGAGGAUGAAGUAGUUAACUCUUCUGAAGAUGAGAAUGAAGCGGCUGAGAAUGAAGCAGUUGAUGCGAAUGAAGUGGUCGAGGAUGAAGUAGUUAACUCUUCUGAAGAUAAGAAUGAAGCGGUUGAGAAUGAAGUGAUCGAGAAUAAAGCAGAUAACUCUUCUGAAGAUAAGAAUGAAGCGGUCGAGGAUGAAGUAGUUAACUCUUCUGAAGAUAAGAAUGAAGCGGUUGAGAAUAAAGCAGUUGAUAAGGAUGAAGUGAUUGAGAAUAAAGCAGAUAACUCUUCUGAAGAUAAGAAUGAAGCAGUCGAGGAUGAAGUAGUUAACUCUUCUGAAGAUAAGAAUGAAGAGGUUGAGAAUGAAGCAAUUGAGAAGAAUGAAGUGAUCGAGAAUAAAGCAGAUAACUCUUCUGAAGAUAAGAAUGAAGCAGUCGAGGAUGAAGUAGUUAACUCUUCUGAAGAUAAGAAUGAAGCCGUUGAGAAUGAAGCAAUUGAGAAGAAUGAAGUGAUCGAGAAUAAAGCAGAUAACUCUUCUGAAGAUAAGAAUGAAGCAGUCGAGGAUGAAGUCGUUAACUCUUCUGAAGAUAAGAAUGAAGCGGUUGAGAAUAAAGCAGUUGAUAAGGAUGAAGAGGUCGAGGAUGAAAUAGUUAACUCUUCUGAAGAUAGGAAUGAAGUGGUUGAGAAUGAAGCAGUUGAUAAGAAUGAAGCGGUCGAGGAUGAAGUAGUUAACUCUUCUGAAGAUAGGAAUGAAGCGGUUGAGAAUGAAGCAGUUGAUAAGAAUGAAGUGAUCGAGGAUAAAGUAGAUAACUCUUCUGAAGAUAGGAAUGAAGCGGUUGAGAAUGAAGCAGUUGAUAAGAAUGAAGUAGUUAUCUCUUCUGAAACCGGAUCACAGAUCUUGUAAGUUCCCACAGUUGUGUUAUAUAUACAAAGAAAUGCUUUUACUGGACUUUUUUCUUCUGACCUGUUUUGGUGUAGUGUAAAUUGUAUUAAUCCAUAAUUUUAGUAUUAAUAAUGUUGAGCACAAUUGUAUAUAUACAUUGAUUGAUUUUUUGGCAUGCUAGAUUAGAUUCCACUUUCAGGUUUUAUUAGUGUAACUUUGUGAAUGCAUUUCAUGGAAUGGAACAUUUCAAUGGUGUAGGUUGGUAAUUCUUACCAUUUACUAUGCAGUGGGGUGAGCACAAUGGGCUAGGGUUAGUCUCUUAACUUUCAGGUUUAUUAGCCUGUGUUUGGUUUGGCGGUUAAAUACAUUUUCUCGUGUCUCAAUGUAAACACACUGAAAAUUAGGAAACACAUGGUGAUGGGCAAUCCCCGGUAAAAAUUAGUAUUGUUUUGUUGAAUGAAUUCCGGUCACAAGGACCCGGUUCAGAUUCUUGAAGGCUAGGAUAUGCAGUUGUAAAGUAAUGUACAGCUGUUUAGCCUCAAGGUUUAGGUUUGCUUUUAAUUGUAGAAUAACUUUGUUGAAUGAAAUGAAUUCGAUCCAAACACAUAUUACAAGGGUUAUUUACAACAUGCAUAUUAAGUAGGCUUUAUUUUUCAGGUAUUCUUGUGUAAUUUUAUAGUAAUGAAUUUUGUUGGAACAGAUAAAUCAAAAUGUGUCUGUUAAUAAAACCUCGGUCAUUUUAUUUUGUUUAGUUUCUUGGUUAUAAAUGGAAGUGGUUUUUGGUUGAGUGGAAGUUAUUUUUCUGCCACUUCUAUCUUUCUUUUCUUUGCUUUUGAUAAUUUUGUGUUAUAAAGCUCAUUAUGGUAUUAGAGAGCAUUCUUCCUUCUCACACUAAACUAGAAUUCUAGAACUGCACUACUAGGGCCCCUUUCCCCUAGGAACCAGAGGGUUAUAAACCAAAAAAAAAAAAGAAUUCUAGGACUGCAUGCAUAAUAACCUUUCUGUUAGGAUCAACUGUGUUAUUUUCAUACUCUUCCUACUUGCACUUAUGCGGCAAAGUGUUAUGGUAAUUACUAAUACUUCAAAGAUUGUUCAACAGUGGUGAGAAAAUGUUUCUGUUCUUUGUUUUCCAUAGGGAUUAAAUGAAUAUUAUGCAUCUAUAUGCUCAGAAAUCCACUUCUUAACGAAGUCUUUUAAAUAGCUCUCUACUAGGAUAAAGAAAUCAAUAAUCUCUCAAUAACACUUGCACAUGAGGCUACAUAAGUUUCAUAAUCCCCUUUGUUUGGAUUGAUGGACGGCAAGUUCAGUGUCAAACUAAUACAGUCCUAAUCUCAAUCCUCAAUGCUGAUACCUACAUCACCCACAAGAACUUCUGUAUAAAAACAUAUUACAUGGUGGAGUUAUUGUAAGGCUUGUCAAGUGAACUAGUUAGGAAUUUGUCAAGUUAGACGUGAUUUUCUAGCUUGUAAUUUAUUCUAAGAUUAUUUGGAAAGUUUUAAUUAGAUCCUUAAACUAAAAACAUUUCAAAACUUAUGCAUAGAAAUUGAUACGUUGCUCUUUGCAUUUGCAUCUUAUGGGAUUGAAGAUUUGUACAUGUUGGGGCCUUUUGCGAAUGAUAGUGAAAUUUUUAAAGAAAACAAAGAAACCAAACUCCACAGUAAACACCGUAUGUUUGUUGUGAACUUGUGAGUUUCGUUUAUUUUUCUAACUAUUCUCUUAGAUCAUGAGAGUUUCAUCUAGUGCCAAAGCUUGCCCAUGAGAGCUUGAUAAAACUUACAAAAAUUUAGCAGAGAAUUUAGUAGGAUCGCUGCUAUAUUAGUUAGAAAUUCUGGUGUUCAGAGAAUUUUUUGUCUUUUUUUUUGCAAAAAGGUGCAGAAAGGAGCACCUUUAAAGUUGAUUAACUAAAAAAAAAGAUAGAACAAAAAGAGAGAAGGGGGACAUAAACCAAAACCUUCUCAAAAUGAAGAGAAUCUAUAGUUUGGUAAACCAAACUUGUUUCUAUGAAAUUGCUCUCUAAUUUCCAAAGGCAGAUCAUUCCACCAGAUGGAAUUGACAAUAGUUAACCCUAUGCUAGCUAGGAUAUCAGCACAAUGGUUCCCUUCUCUAUAGAUAUGGGAGACCAUAAAAUUCAUAUUUCUAGUCAAAUAUAAACAAUUACUCCACCUAUUCCUUAAGGACCAAGGGACGUUGGAUAUAGACUUAAAAGCUAAAAUAACUAACUGAGAAUCAGACUCGAGCCACAGGUUGUACCAUUGUCUUGAAAAAGCAAUCUCAAUAGCCUUCAUUGCACCAACUAAUUCAGCAUAUAAAGCAUUAUUAACACCCAAGUUUUCUGCAAAAGCACCAAGAAACUCGGCUGAACUGUUUCGAAAGAGACCACCGCAAGAAGCUAAACCUGGAGUGCCUAAAGCAGCUCCAUCUGAAUUACACUUCACCCAAAAAUGAGUAGGAGGUUGCCAUAUAAUAUCUUUAAUGGUUGGAGCUUUAGGAGGAUGAAGAUGAACCUUGAAAGCUUUUAGAAUCAUGAAGUCCUGCAUAGAGGAACGAUAAACCAACUUUGUUCUAUUACCGGUCAAUGAGCUACAAGAAAUUAUCCAAGCAAUAGCCGACUUCCAAGGAAUGAUUUUGUCAUUAAACCGACCUUGAUUCCUUGCGUACCAAAUUGCAUUCAAAAUGUUGAUCAUUGCAGAUUUGAUAACAAUACUACAUUGAGGAGUCCAAUUCCUAUCACCAAAAAGACCAAAUAUCUGAUAAAGAUGAAAAAGUGAAACUAGUGUUGACUAUGUUGGUGAACCAGUUCCAAAUUCUAUUUGCAUAUAUACAAUCAAAGAACAAAUGAGGAAUAGACUCAGCAUAACUAGAACAAAGAGUACACAUAGAAGGUAAAUUGAAGUCUUUUUCUGUCAUCUUGUCAUCAGUAGCAAUUUUAUCAUGCAUCAAUCUCCAAACAAAUAAUGAUUUGGAAUGAGGUAUGUCUUUAGACCAAAUCGACUUAGCCCAACCAAGAUUGUUACCAACAGGAGCUUUAUACAAAAAAGCAUCUUUAAGUGAGAGCUCACCAGAAGUUGAUUCUUUCCACAAUAAUUUAUCCAUUUUGUCUUCAAUUAGAAUGGUAACUUUUUGUACAAUUUGCCUAAGAUUAGGAAACGCUAGCUCUAAAUCAAUAGGCAAAUUCCAUUGAUAAUUAAAGAUGAAGUCACUAAUUGGAGCAUUGAUGGAAGAGUGUAAAUGAAGUGGAAUUUGCAGUAAAUGAACAAGAGGCCUACCACACCAAUCAUCAUUCCAAAAAUUCACUUUCUCACCCUUACCAAUAAGCCAAACAGAAUUCUCAACUACAAAAAUAAAUUCAUCUUUGAUUCCACUCCAAAUAGAAGAAAAAAUAUGAUGUGAGAUAGGCUUACCUUUUCUUAAAAUUCUGCUUUUGAGGAUGAGAGCCCAAUGUUCCUCUGAAUUUAUUAACUCCCAGCACAAUUUUAGAUUUGUAGCAUCAUUCAAACUAGACAUUGAUCUAAUUCCAAGACCACCCUCAGAAAUAGGUCUGCAAACUUUAUUCCAAGAUACAUUGACUAGUUUCCAUUUGUUUAUAUCUCCACUCCAUAUGAAAUUUCUGAUCCAACCUUCCACAGUUUUAAUCAGAUUGACUGUCCAAGAAUAAAUAGACAUUGUGUGAUUAAGCAUACCAUAAACCACUGACUGGACUAGCUGCACUCUCCCAGCAAUGGAUAAGAGUGAUGCCUUCCAAGCAGAUAAUUUAGCCUUAACAUUGUCAGCAAUAGGUUGAAAAUGGCAUGACUUAGGCUUACCCUUAAAAAUAGGCACACCUAGAUAAAUGAAAGGCAAAAUUCCAAAAUUGAAACCAAGAAAACUCGCAAUAAUGUUGAGCCUAGCAAGAGGAAUAGCUCCUGAGUAUAAAUUGUUGACUUGUUGACAUUAAUUAUCUGACCAGAAGAUAAAGCAUAUCUUGUAAAGAGAUUUUUUAAAGCAUUCAAACAAGAAAUUUUCCCUUUGCAAAAAACCAUGAUGUCAUCCGCAUAUAGAAUAUGAGAUGGAAUAUUGAUUGACCUUGUUCAUUUGAUGAGAUCCACCUUGCCAUCCUCCACCAACUUAGAGAUGCCUCUGCUCAGAACUCCCUCCGCUAAACAAAAGAGAAGAGGUGAUAAAGGGUCACCUUGUCUCACCCGCCCUCUUACAAGGGAAAUAACCAUGUUGCUUACCAUUAACUGAAAUUGAUAAUGUGGCUGAUUUUAAAAUAACAUCAAUCCAGUCACAAAAUUUUGAGUUAAAACCAAAGGAUUUGAGCACUCUCAACAAAAAAACUCCACUCAAGAGUGUCGAAAGCCUUAGAGAUGUCUAUUUUCAUGGCCAAGUUAUCUCCAAAAGAUUUGUUAUGCAAAAGAUUCACAGCUUCAGAAGCCAAACAAAUACAGUCUUUAAUCUGUCUACCAUUAAUGAAGCCCCUUUGUUCUUUAGAAAUAAUGGUAGGCAUGAUUUGAGCUAGCCUAUCUGCCAAGAUCUUUGAAAUAAUUUUGAACUUAAAAUUGGCUAAUGCAAUAGGCCUAUAAUGAUCCACCGAAUCUGCACUUGGAAUUUUAGGAAUGAGAACAAUUGUAUUGGCNNNNNNNNNNNNNNNNNNNNNNNNNNNNNNNNNNNNNNNNNNNNNNNNNNNNNNNNNNNNNNNNNNNNNNNNNNNNNNUUGAACAAGACGUCAGCAUAGAAAUUUGAUAGGAACUAAUCAUAAAAUUUUCCAAAUAUACAAUAAUUUAGUGAUCUCAUUCAUAAAAUGGCGCACUCAUUGAAACUAGGAAUCAAUUAUCAGUUGCUGCAUGAGGCGAUCAUUGAAUUUGAAGGUGUUGUCUUACUUUCAUUCUAAGCUUUUUAUUUAGAUUCAUAUUGUUCCGUUGAAGAUGUCUAUAUUUGCUUGGAGAUUAUUCAACAAUAGAUGAUCAUCUAAAGAAUAAUUAACGUUGUCGUGACAUUUUAAAUAUUGAUUCCCAAGAUUUGUGUUUUUGAAUGUAACGUGAUGGAAAUUGUUAAUCACUUAUUUUUUUUAUUGCUCUUUUAUGGGCGUGUGUUGUAUGAUAUAUGUAUGGUUUAAAGACUACCUUAAACCAUGCAGAUAAUGCCAAGCCACAGGGCUCAUCCCCGGAAUUGGAUCUGGUGCAGUCGUUUUUCCAUACAGUCGUUUAAUAGCCGUUCGAUCACGAUCGGACGGUUUAAACAAACACAGUUAAUAUAUAAUAGUUUAAAUCAUAACCGUCUGAUCUUGAUCGAACUACUAUAGAUGAAUACAAUAUAAAUAUGCAUACACACAAUUAUGUUAUGAAAAUUCUUUAUGCGUCCUUGUUGCAACAUAAAAUUGGUUCUUAUCCAUUAGUCAAAAAAAAAAAAAAGGGUUCUUAUCCUACUGUUUUUUNNNNNNNNNNNNNNNNNNNNNNNAUAUUAUCCUCUACCAUUUCAUACGUGUGCAUGUUAUUACGUUACUUGAGUUAUGGGCUAGUCAUUGUUAUUUAUUUUUUUAUUAGGGUGCAUGUUAAUUAUUCUCUUUAUUUGGUAAAAAAUAAGUUAGUUAAUAGCGGAUAAAUUUAUAAUGAAUAACUUAUAAGUUAGUUUUUAACUUAUAGUGAAUAAUUAAGUUAACUGAUUUAAUUUAUAGUGUUUGGUAAAAUUAGCGGUUGAACUAGCUUAUAUAAGUAUAAAAUGCUUUUUGUCAAAAAAAGAGUAUGAAAUGAUAUAAAAAAAUGAUAUGUUUAAUUAAUAUUUAAAGUAAGAUGGUAGGGUAAAAUUGGAAGAACAAUUAGUAUGUUAUAAACUUAUAAACUACUUGAAAUAACGUUUGAAAAAUAAGCUAUUAAUUAGUAAAAUAAGCUAUAAGCUCAAAAUCUAACAUUACCAAAUAGAGCCCAUUGAUCAAUAAGUUAAAUUUUUNNNNNNNNNNNNNNNNNNNNNNNNNNNNNNNNNNNNNNNNNNNNNNNNNNNNNNNNNNNNNNNNNNNNNNNNNNNNNNNNNNNNNNNNNNNNNNNNNNNNNNNNNNNNNNNNNNNNNNNNNNNNNNNUGCCCUGUCAAUUGAUUUGUCCUUUCAUUCAUUUCUUAUGUAAUAAGUACCGAAACAACUUCGGAUUAUGAUUAGUUGAUUACACUGAGUGUAUGCUGACUCAGUUUCUCGUCUUUGCUUCCAAACUCUAUCAUAACAUCCUUAAUUUCUUCAAACUCAAUUCCUAGUACCACUCCACCAUACGAGGAUGUUGCAGCUUUCCAUUCAACGAGGUUAGUGUACAAAUCACUUCUCUUUCUUACACCCAGAUAGAUGAUGAUCGAUCAAAUACUUGAAAUUUUGAUUUUGAUUAAGAAAAAUUUGAUUUUUUUUAUUGGGUUUGCAGCAAAUAAGUUGAAGAUUUUGAUGCCUCAGAUCUCUGCUUUGGGAAGUUACCAUUUCUCAACAGCGGCUCAAUCAUCUUCCACUAAACCCAAUGCUCCGGUAAGUUCAACAUUCAUGUGAUUCUUUUUUCUCAUUCAUUUUAUUGUUUUUCUUCUUGUUUAUAGCAAAUUAAUUCAUAAAACUAUAUGUUAGAUCAUAAUUUGUUAUUAAGGUGUUUUACUAUUUGCUUUUGAUCAUGAUUUUAUUUUAUAUUAUAAAAAAUUUCAGGGUCGAAAUUGACAAUUACAUAAUUCAGUUAUGCAUGCUAUCAGAAUCAUAGCCAUAAGCAUUUUAAUGAGUUUUUGUUGAUCUUCUUUUGAUUGUGUUCUAUCAGAGAGUUCCAAAUCUUAUUGGGGGAAGGUUUCUUGAGUCAAAAUCAUCAUCUUUCAUCGAUGUUAUAAACCCGGUAAGUGAUUUUUCUUUUAUACCGAGUUUAUUGUUGUAUCUCUUUAUUUUUAUUUUUUUGAUGUUUUGAGAAAUGUAGACUUCUAAUAUUUCUCGAAUCUGAUCAUAGGCAACACAAGAAGUUGUUUCACAAGUUCCAUUGACUACAGAUGAAGAGUUUAAAGCUGCUGUAUCUGCAGCAAAGAAGGCAUUUCCAUCAUGGCGUAACACUCCAGUUACGACACGCCAGCGUGUUAUGUUGAAAUUUCAGGAGCUCAUUCGCAGAGAUAUGGUGAGCACUUCAUACCAUUCUAGAAGAUGUGUUGCAUUAUUUUGUGAUCAUAGACACUCAUGCCAUCAUGCUUACUAUUAAAAGUUUUCAUCAUAUUUCAACUUUGUAAUUGUUUUAGGAUAAACUUGCUCUUAAUGUGACCACCGAACAAGGAAAGACGCUGAAGGAUGCACAAGGAGAUGUAUUUCGUGGUUUAGGUUGGUCUUUAUAAUACGUUGCUUGAUAACAUUUUGUAGUGAGAUCGUAAUUAUGCUCAUAAUUUUGGAAAUGUGAUUCCUUGAAUACUUAAAUUUAUAUCAUGUAGAGGUGGUGGAACAUGCCUGUGGGAUGGGAACUCUACAAAUGGGGGAGUAUGUUUCAAAUGUAUCACAUGGUGUCGACACAUACAGCGUCAGAGAACCAAUUGGUGUGUGUGCUGGUAUUUGCCCUUUCAACUUUCCUGCAAUGAUUCCCUUGUGGGUAAGCAGUUUUCUUCCUUUGGGGUUGGCCGUUGAAUUGAUAUUUUUCCUUUUGUAAUUUACCUUUACCUUUAUUUGUGGUCAUAUCAGCAUGCAUGAAAUAGAGAAAGUCUACUUUAUAGAAUAAUCCAGAAACAUUUAGCUAGAACAACUUUGGCUUGUCUCUAUCCAUAUUAUGUUAUUUCUCACAGGAAUGUGUUGUAUUGUAUUGGACAUAUAAUAAAUUCUGAAUGCAUAUCAUUUGCAGAUGUUCCCUGUGGCUGUUACCUGUGGCAAUACCUUUGUUUUAAAACCAUCGGAGAAAGACCCAGGUGAUGAUUCCUACUGAUUUUAUCAUCCCUUGGUGUAGAGAAAUACAUUUGUUUGUAGUUGGAUGUUAUAUCGUUACUCCCAAUCACCCUGUGGAAUAAGGCUCGGUUGAUAUUUGAAUUUGGUUUUUCUCCAGGUGCUUCUUUAAUGCUUGCAGAAUUGGCAUUGGAGGCUGGUUUGCCCGAGGGUGUCUUAAAUGUGGUUCAUGGAACCCAUGUAUGCCAUUACUCCUUUUUUAAUUUAACUUUUGUUGUUCACCUUGUCACUAUAUGAUGUAUUAAGAAAGAAAUAAUUGUACUUUGUUUUUCUUGUGGUUUGAUGUCCUUUAUUAUACAAUUGGUGACAGGAUAUUGUGAAUGCCAUUUGUGAUGAUGACGAUAUCAAAGCCAUAUCAUUUGUUGGUUCUAAUGUUGUAAGUAAUCUAAUACCUGGUUUUUUCACUCCGUUGAUUUUUUGUGAUCUUAUAAUCUAUUUUCUCUCUAGUGUAUACAUUUAUUUGAUGUUCUUAUUUGUAUUAAAGGCUGGAAUGCACAUAUAUUCAAGAGCAGCAGCUAAAGGAAAACGUGUUCAGGUAGGUGCAUUUUGUUUUUCCUCCUUUUAGUGAAAUUUUUGGUCCAUGUAAUGAUAUCAAGUUUGGCAAUUAAUAAACAACUGUGGUUUGCAGUCUAAUAUGGGGGCCAAAAAUCAUGCAAUAGUCAUGCCAGAUGCAAAUGUCGAUGCUACUAUAAAUGCUUUAAUUGCUGCUGGUUUUGGAGCUGCUGGACAGAGGUGCAUGGCUCUCAGCACAGUUGUUUUUGUAGGAGGCUCACAACAAUGGUAUCAUACGACAUUCUGUUUUGACUGGUUUCUGUUUAUCAGGACUUCUUGUUGGCUUUUUUUUUUGCUUGAGCAAUUUAAAGCUCCUCCCAAAUGUUGAGUUUUUGCAUUUUUGGAUAAUCACAAGUGGUGAAUAUUUUAUCGUAAUUUCCAUAUCAGUAUAAACAAUAAGUUAUGUUCUUCCAUUUCAAAAAAACAAACUCAAAAGAUUGUCUAGAGAAAAUCGCGUUCAGUAUUUCAAAAUUGGACUACCUUGUUUGUAAUGCAGGUGUCUUAGUGUGCAGUUUCAUUGAUUUUAACUUUCUUAUCUUUUGGCCUAGAAAAUUUGAUUUUGAUUAUGAACUUGAAGCUUUUAAAUAAUUGCACCCUCAACNNNNNNNNNNNNNNNNNNNNNNNNNNNNNNNNNNNNNNNNNNNNNNNNNNNNNNNNNNNNNNNNNNNNNNNNNNNNNNNNNNNNNNNNNNNNNNNNNNNNNNNNNNNNNNNNNNNNNNNNNNNNNNNNNNNNNNNNNNNNNNNNNNNNNNNNNNNNNNNNNNNNNNNNNNNNNNNNNNNNNNNNNNNNNNNNNNNNNNNNNNNNNNNNNNNNNNNNNNNNNNNNNNNNNNNNNNNNNNNNNNNNNNNNNNNNNNNNNNNNNNNNNNNNNNNNNNNNNNNNNNNNNNNNNNNNNNNNNNNNNNNNNNNNNNNNNNNNNNGAGAUAAUCGCGUUCAGUAUUUCAAAAUUGGACUACCUUGUUUGUAAUGCAGGUGUCUUAGUGUGUAGUUAGUUUCAUUGAUUUUAACUUUCUUAUCUUUUGGCCUAGAAAAUUUGAUUUUGAUUAUGAACUUGAAGUUUUUAAAUAAUUGCACCCCUCAACAAUAUUUGUGUAGGGAAGCUAAAAUCAUAGAACGUGCCAAAGCUCUUAAAGUAAAUGCAGGAACUGAACCUGAUACAGAUCUUGGUCCGGUUAUCAGCAAACAGGUUAGCUUAUGAUUCUUCAUUUACUUUUUCCAUGGUGGAUUUUAGCUAAAAAUUUCAAUAACAAAUAACAAAUCUCCAGUGUGUCAUUCGAGAAGUACUGCUAUGGCUAUUUGGCUAUUUAUGUUUCCUAAAUAUUCUUCCUGUCUUCACAGGCAAAGGAGCGAGUGAAAACAUUAGUUCAAUCUGGGGUUGAAAGUGGUGCCAAACUACUUCUUGAUGGAAGGAAUAUAGUGGUAGUUAUUACACCCUUAACUGCCUUUUUCAACUGUCUUAUUAUAUUCUUUUUAAGCAUUUUAUUGCUUACCAUUUGAUUCUUUUUAAGCUCAACUUCUUGUGAACUGAAAAAUACUGGGAAGAUAAAUUAAAACUUUGAAUGCACAUAUCUCUUUUUAAUAACCUUGUUAAAGUUCCAAGGUUGUCACGCUAAAUAGCAUAUAUGAAGCAAAAAUACCCAAAUGCAUUAAAUAAAUGGUUUUGCGUAACUCUUAAAAGAUUGCUUAUCAAUUCAUACGUGCAUGAUAAAUAGGUCCCAGGAUAUGAAUCUGGCAAUUUUGUCGGGCCAACCAUCUUAUCAAAUAUCAGUACCGAUAUGGAGUGCUACAAGGUAUUUUAUUACCAAUCUCCAAUCUCAAUGUGUCUAAUAAAAGCUUUUCUUCCGAAUAGAGAGCUGAUGUUUUAUAUUGAACUUACUAUCUUUCACAUUAUACACACAGGAGGAAAUUUUUGGCCCAGUUCUUCUUUUCAUGGAGGUGUGUCAGUUUAUUUCAUCGUUGGAGUUAGAAUCUAUAACAUUUUCACAAAAAUAUAGUUUUGGGAAAAUAUUUCCUGAUUAGAAACAAUUAACUCCUUGAUGGUUAAUUAUUUCUAUGCUGAUUUUUUUUCCACCUCAGACACAUUUAUCUUUCUUUUUUCGUUGCAUUUUGACUAUGCUAAUACAGUGUUUUUCUGUUUUGUUUUUAUCUUCAGGCUGAUAGCUUGGAAGAGGCUAUAGACAUUAUCAACAAAAACAAGUAUUUAUUUAACAAGCCGCAGUUGUCAUUGCCUUUUGUUAAACUGCUAUAUAUUUAUUUCUUAUUACUCUAACCUUUCCAACAGGUAUGGAAACGGUGCUUCUAUAUUUACUACUUCUGGCGUUGCUGCAAGGAAAUUUCAGACCGAGAUUGAGGCAGGGCAGGUAAAUAUUAUAUUUACUAUUUCUUGGAUAUUAAUAAAUAAUGCUGAUAAAUUUCAACCAGUAUAUGCAUUAGAUGUUAUUUAUCAACCAAUCAUAUUGCACUUUAACAUGGACAAGAUUCUGUCGCCAAAUAGAAAAAUGUAUUAUAUAGUUAAGUGAUAGUGAUACUGAUUAUGGAUCUUGAACCAGGUUGGGAUCAAUGUUCCUAUUCCAGUUCCUUUGCCAUUUUUCUCAUUUACCGGUAACAAGGCAUCAUUUGCUGGCGAUCUCAAUUUCUACGGUAUUGUCGUUUCUCCAAAAUCUGGCUCGUCUGCAAUCAACCAUUUAUCACUUAUAGUGUAAAAGUGUUUGAUUUGAACUUGAUAUUAUGCAUUUUUGAAUUGCAGGCAAGGCAGGGGUUAACUUUUUUACACAGAUCAAAACAAUAACUCAACAGUGGAAGGAUUCGGUAGGCGGUAGCAAGGUUAACUUGGCAAUGCCAACCUCUCAAAAAUCUUGAUUGCCAGAGAGUCAUGUGUAUAAUUUUUUUCUUUUUUUGGAAGCUUUGUACUCUUCAAUAAAAUGUCAUAGUUCCAUCUCUUGUUUGUACAUUUUCCUUAUUUAUUUUUUUCUGCUUUUGAUCCCCAAAUCCUUCUCUUGUGUCCAUGUGACUAUUAUUUUCUAAAAUGAGGGUUUAUAUUUUAGGAGACGAAUCCAUUGAUAUUAUAUCCAUCCACAUAAAAUUGUUCUAUAAACUGCUUCAGGUUUACCUUGAAAGCUGACCUAAAAAUAACUAAACUUGAAAACUUUUAGAAGAUAGCAUUUUCUAAAUUCACUUUUAAAAUAUACUAUUAUCAGACAUAACUCAACUUUUACUUAAUCUCUUUUUAAAUUUAAUAAUUUUAAUGUUAACACAUCUUGUGCUAAAGAGAUUUUUUAUAUAUUUAUCUCAUUUUGGCUUUUUCAAAAAAAUAAUUUUAAUGUUAAUUUUAACAAAAUUAAUUCUACAAAAAUCUCAAACAAAAACAACUAAUUGCAAUGACUGACAUUUAUCACAGUGAAUCAACAUAGACCAUAUAUUAUUUAAUAACACCAUUAUUUAGAACAAAAUAUUACUUAGUAAACUAAUCUUAUGAUUAUCGUCAAGAUCAACAAGUGUUUUACAUCAUGACAUCGAUAUAUGAUCAUAACCAAAAACACAAGAAUGAACGUAACCAGAAGACAUCAACGCAAAAUAAAGUUUCAAAGACAGUUUGGAUUUUGAUGUGGCAACCUAGGAGUUGGAAUAAAAUACGGGAACUCUGGUUGGCGUGACCAUGAUCCCUCUGGUCCAUAAUAUGGAAAUGGAACGCUUAUUGGAGAUGGUGUUGGUCCUCUGAAAGGUGUUGUUCCACUAUGAUAUGGAAAUGGAAAUCCUGGUGGAGAUGACAUUGGUCUUCCAAAAGGUGUUGGUCCCCUGACAGCUUGUGUAGAAGGCGUGGCUCCUAUGAUAUGAAAAUUGAAAUUCUGUGGUUUUUGCACCUUAUGAUCCAUCACUACUGUUCCCUUCAACCCUUUGUUAACAAUACCAUCUCCAUUCUUAACAUUGGAAUUUAACAUAUCGCUAAAAUUCUUCUGUUUCACCUCCACUUUGGGUAGAUAGAUUUGCAGCUUCUGCGGAGCAGGUUGCUUCUUUGCUUUCAAAGCUGCUUCACAAGCAGCCUUGUGUUUCCUCCCAUUAAAGUGGGAAUUCAAGAGAUUCUCACUUGUAGUUGUGAACAAACACAAAGCACAUGUCCACUCUUUCUGCACUUCCUUUAGUGUAGAAGUAGAACUCUGAGGAACCUCUCCACCAACUGUGUCGCUCUCUGCUCUCCCUUUGGUUUCCACUGUGGCUGAUGAUGCAGUUUGACUUGGCCCAAUUUUCGGCAUGAUAAGAAUAUCCUGCCACAUCCAGAUAUUAGCAUAGAGACUAAGUACUUCAUGCAAGCGGACCCAAUAUAAUCGGAAGAAUACACAUUUUUUUAACAUAUACUACGGUCUACGGUUAAUGGUUAUUACUCAUGUUCGUGCAGACAAGAGAGAGGAUAAUUCAAUCUGAAGACCUAUACUUCAGACAAGUGUGGUAUCAUUAAAUGUACUUGAAGGCCUAAAUCUUUCACAAAUGACCUCUUAGUAUGCCACAAGCCUAACAUUUAAUUUGUCCUUGGGAGAUUUCUAUUUUGA